Molecule: long non-coding RNA, 49778 nt
Filed under: Triticum aestivum (bread wheat)
Lineage: Eukaryota; Viridiplantae; Streptophyta; Magnoliopsida; Poales; Poaceae
Description: long non-coding RNA (TAES_LNC023299)
Rfam family: MIR1120/MIR1122 microRNA precursor family (bases 2052-2186)
Source: RNAcentral
GUCCUUAUAUAUAGCUUCUAUAUGUAUGUAUUUAUGUGAUAUGCACUGCUGUAUUUUAGAUCAUGUUGCCUUGCCUUGUCCUGUCUUUUAGAUCAUGUUUAUGUGAUAAGCACUGCUGUCUUUUAUGUUGGCUCGACCUGUAUUAUAUGAAUCCAUGACAGCUUCUUGUGAAUGUGCUGCUAUCCUUAUCUUCUUUCCUUUUUGUGCUCUUCUUUUUGUUACUCAAAUAAAUCUGUAAUCAUUUUUUUGUGAGAAAAAUAAAUCUGUAACUUAGCUAGGCUAACAUCAAUCAACAGGUGUUGCAGUACUACAAACAAUCUGCUUGACAAAACCUUCCCCCAGAUAGGGUUUUAUUGGUGGCGACCACGCCUGUAUCUAUGGAUAAUUGUACAACGUUGAGACACAUUGUACACUCUGUUAUUCAGCUAUGCUGCAAGGCAGCCUGCCUUACACUAGAAAUACACACAUGAUGUUCCCGACCCAAGUAUAGGUAUCUCUGAAGGCAGCCCACUACACAAUACACAUAAGCCACACUGACCCAAGGAUGUUUUACAAAGGGCAGCACAUCUCGAUACUCGAGCGUGGGUACUCAAUCCUGAUAACGAUCAAACGAGGUCUCCUCAAUCGGAAACGCCGAACAGACGGCUGGUUUUCUCAGUCUUGAGUUACUGACUGGACAAGUGCAAUCACUUGCUCGAUGCUCUCAAAUUGGCGGCGGCCCUUCAGGAUUGCCUUGCCACAAUCAAGCGCGCGGCACUCACAUGAUGCUCUCUUGCUGGCAUCCUCGAUUGAGUCAAAAUCCUCCACAUGGGCAAUUCCAACAAUUCUCCUGCACAGGGAGGAGCAAGUAUAGGAGCAAAAGUUGAGUGAAUUUUAGUCAGAGUCAGGAAUCAUGAGAUCAUGCAUAAGGCACAAAAAUAUGUGCAGAGACUGAAAUCAAUGUCCAAUGUGAUUUUUAGUUCUUAACAGGGUACAUUUGGUAAGCUAUCAUGCUUUUUUUUUCACUGCAUAGCAUUUCUGAAGCACAUUUCAUCAAAAAAAAUUCUUUUGUGCUGCGAUAAUUAAAUCUGGUCUUUCGGGUCAAAUGAAUUUUAUACUACUCCCUCUGUAACUUAAUAUAAGGUGUUUUUCAGUGUCAAAAAACGUCUUAUAUUAAGUUGCAGAGAGAGUAGUUCUUUACAUGGUACAUUUUGUAAGCUAUGUGUGCUUAUAUGUCACUGCAUAGCAUUGUGAAGACGGGAUGCCAUAUCGAAACUGAAAUCUGAAACCUAUGCAUUAGACUAACUUAAUGCACCUUGAGUCAUUUCAGUUAAAGAGAAGCAUUGAUGUAUCACCGUGGUCUAAGAGUAGAUUACAUUCAACAGAUAACCAAUAUAUUCAGAGAUUAUUUUUUUUGCGGUAUAUAUUCAGAGAUUUGGCAAGUACCUGAUCAUUUUGGCCGAACCAAAUCCAAGACUGUCAUGAAGUAAACCUGUCAUGUACUUCUUCUGUACAACGCUCAAAAGCUCCGGGUUGUUGUAUAUGGCAGGCAGGUAUGCCUCCCCAUUCCCAUCUUUGUGUUUAUUCCAAAGUCCCAGAAAUUUCUGCUGGAACAAAUUCCAUGAUUCUUCGAUCGUCUUCAAUAUCCAUUGCUUAUAAGCCUGCAAAAGAUGGGCAGUCCAAGCGCUUAUUUUAUUACAGGGACAACAAGAAAAAUAUCUUCAAGGAUGUGUUAUAGCAUGAACUGACACUUCUGCAACUGCCAAUACUGAAGAUGCCAGGGAUGCUUAUGGACUUGAAAUAAGGCAGGUUAUUCCAUACAAGGCAAUUAUUUGAGGUGCUAUACUCUUUCAGCCAACCACCCUCCUCUACAUGACAGCUACAGGACCUUCAUCAUCCUCCAGUAUCAAUUAUAUAUUCUUUUAGUAGAGAGGGACAUCAUAUUUAAGCUGGUAUAUGCCUUCUUUCAAAAAAGCAAUAUUCCAAACAUUUAUUCUAAUAAAGAAUUUCUAAAUAAAUAGUAAAUGGUGGAUAAGGUAAUCAGUAAUCACUCAGGAGCGCAUUAAAGAAACAUAGUACUCCCUCCGUCCGAAAAUACUUGUCAUCAAAAUGGACAAAAAGGGUUGUAUCUAGAACUAAAAUACAUCUAGAUACAUCCCCUUUUAUUCAUUUUGAUGACAAGUAUUUCUGGACGGAGGGAGUAUUAGUUAACAUAAAAGGCCUACCGUAAAAACAGCAUGUCAUACUCUACUAUAUUAAAGUAAAAAUAGGUGCCAGCAAGACAAGGUUAAAACUUAAGGCCAUAAUACUGUUAUACAUACCUUACGGUCAUUUGCUUCAUCAGCAUGCCCAUCCUGUGCGAAGUAGGCCAGAAUCAGGUUCCCCAAGAAGGCCCCAAUGUCGUAACCCAUCGGCGCGUAGAAGGCAAACUCCGGAUCAAUCACUUGAGUGGAAUCUGGGGUCACCAUGAUGGAACCAGUAUGGAGAUCACCAUGAAUCAGAGCCUGGGCUCUCUCAAUAAACCUGCAGUGUAAAAUUCAGAUAAGAAACACAACAUACGCAGCACCAACGAAUCUGCAUAAAUUCGGAGCUAGCCGAUUACAUGGACUUCAGUUCACCAAUCUCCAAUUUCAGCCCAUCAUCCUCCCGAACCGCUUCGGCGUCUUUGUCUAGAAGAGGCGAGUUCCAGCGAUUGUAUUUGGAGACCAUGUAUGGGUCCGAGAAGACGACCUGCUCCGUGAGCCUGCACAUCUCCACGUUCUCACAGUAGCGAGCAACUGCAAUUCACAUCAAGACACGCCAUGAAUUUCACCUCUUUCCCCCUUUUACAGGCAGAAGAAAAUUCAGAGGAGCAGAGCAGAGCAGCCCCGACCUUGCUUCUUGUGGUCGGUGGUGGAGUUGUAGAGGAGGGAGGUGAAGAAGAGGGUCUUGGCCAUGUAGUUGGCCAUGUGGUCGGCGAGGAGCGGGUACUGGACGCCGGCGAUGAGGCCCUUGCGGAGGAUGAUGUGGGGCGGCCUGAUGUAGCGCAUGCCGAUGAGCGACAUGGCGCGGUCGAAGUGGUAGACCUCCGGGACGUGGUCCGGGCAGAGGCGGCCGUGCUCCCGCAGCGCCGACGCCUCGAAGUAGGCCCGCUCCCUCGUCAUCGGCCACGAGUCCCCCACGCAGCGGAUGUACGGCAGCGCCUGAUCCGAUCCAUCCAGAACGCGUCAGUCAGGGGACGGGGAGGGAGGGGGAGAGGGGGACGGGGGACGGACCUGCUUGACGACGACGGAGCCGGCGUCGGAGGUAACGAUGUAGACGAAGUUGAGGUUGCCGUCGCCGACCUCCUUGACGGCGAGGCCGUCGACGCGGCCGCCGAGGCUGGCGGCCAGCGCCGGGGUCGCCCGGAUGUAGGCCACCAGCGACGCCUCGUCCAGCGGACGGAAGCCCUGCUCCUCGUCGCCGGCGGCCAUGGCGGGCGAGCUGGAUCGGGGGGGACUGAGGGAGUGGGGAGUCGCCGGGGUUUACGCUGUCGCGGCGGGUGUGUGGGUGCGGGAACAGAGACGCUGCCGCUCUGUAUUAAUAGUGCGUGCUCUGCACCUGGACGGGUAUCUGGCAAUAGUGACCACUUGCGUUGGAUUGGGAUGAUUAGGAUGAGGAUUCCCGUUGACUAGGAGAGCUAUUGAGAGCAGCCGCGUCCUGACUCUGGGCCCAUACAUUUUCUGAUGAGGAACAUAUAAACUUCUUGGUACAGUUUUAUUCCGAGGAAAGCAACCCUAUACACAUACUUUCUCCACAAAUGUACCUUCUCUUUGCCCCGCUCCGAUGGAUAGAACAUGAGCGUCUCGAAUUUCCUUGUUUUCACUAAUUUACAAGUCUUGUGGCUCGGGAAAAGGAGAACGAAGAGCUUCUAAGGGCAUGAAUUCCAUUGCUUCAUUGAUUUUGAGGAGAGAGGACUGGCGUGGUUUGGAGGGCGUUGGUUCAAGGACAAUAGAUGCGGAGAAAAGGACAGAAUCUUCACGAGAUACGCAAUGACAAUAGCAGUGAUGAGUAGGUGCCCAAUAGCUUGGUAUCUAGGCAAUGCAAAACGAUGUACUUUGUGGGGUUGUUUAGUAUGCUAUACCCGUCUCCACGUGGAGAGACAAUCGUUGCAAUCUCAUGGAAAGAGGUGAGCAAUGCAACACAAGUAGCAAGUUGGAUGGCACUGCUAACGCAGCAAGGGAAGAAGGCAAUUCCUUUUUUUUCUUUGUUUGCCUCCAAUAUCUCAAAGCUCACAAGUACGUUGAACGGAAGAGGGAAAUAGAUGUAAGCCCGACAUUACACAAUGGAAAGGACUAUCUCUCUCGACCUAGAGGCAAGUUCUCAAAACGUACAUAUAUAUAGGAUGGGGGUGUCAUUCUAGAUGUGUGAGUUUAGCAUUCAUUCAUGUAGUAUGUUUUUUGCGUGGUCAUUGAUAGAGUGUGAAUAUAAACUACAGUCUGCAGUCUAAAGCUAACAAAUGUUAUAUGUGUUUGGUGUUGGUUGUGACGUAGUGAGAAAUGCAUGUGAAAAAUGUGAUGAAACACAUGUAGUCAUAGAACUCGAAUCACACUUCAGUUUCCAACCGUCAAACACUUGCUAAGUCUAUUGGAAUGUCAAUUAUUUUAUUUAAAAUUUGAGGGGAAAAAAAGACUGGCAACUACCUUAACAAACAGGAAGGGAUGUUAACCAAUUCAGAAAAAUGACUCCCCAGUCUUAAGAAAUCCUCUAUAACACUAUGCUUCCUAGUUUUAAAGAACCUAUAUUCAAUUGAGGUCACCAAUUGAAGUUGAGUCACCCGAUUUUAACUAGGUCAACAAUUUCGCAAAGUCCUCUCAUUCAAUAUUUUAAACUAUAAACUGUGCUUUCUAGUUUUAAAGAACCUAUAUUCAAUUUUGAGGUCUCCAAUUGGAGUUGAGUCACCCAAUUCUAACCGGGUCAACAAUUUUGCAAAGCCAUCUCAUUCAGUAGUUUUAAACUAUAAAUUGCGAUUCCUAGUUUUAAAGAACCUAUAUUCAAUUGAGGUCUCCAAUUGGAGUUGAGUCACCCGAUUUUAACCGGGUCAACUAUUUCGCAAAGCCCUCUCAUUCAAUAUUUUUAACUAUAAAUUAUGCUUCCUAGUUUUUAAGACCUCACAAUUAGUUCGGGUCUUUAAUUUAGAAUUUGGUCACCCUAUUUUGACUAGGUCAAUGAUUUCUCUAAACUUUCAAUUUUGUACUAUACACUAUGUUUCCAAAUUUUCAAGGCCUCACAAUUAACUGAGCUCUUCAAUUUAGAAUUUGGUAACUCGAUUUUGACUGGGUCAACAAUUUCUCAAGGAGCUCCCCCAUUUGAUUAUUUUAAUUCACCAUGUUCCUAAAUUUUGAGACUCUUUCAUUCAAUUGAGGUAUUCAAUUUUAAAUUUUAGUAUUAAAUUAAAUAUCUUGAAUAAAAAAGGAAAUUAGCACAUUAAUCAUAAUCUUCAAAAGUAAUCUCAAAGCAUGCCCUGCCAGAACGAGCUGAACUUAAUCAAAAGGACAAGGUCCAUAAAAUAAAACAUGCAUCGCUUAUUUUUGUCCAUCAGGUCAAAUAUCACGAACACCACCUGCAAACAUCAAUGUAGAAUUGGACUGAGGGACUGAGGAGUCGCCGGGGACGCUGGGGUUUACGGUGUCAUGGAGGGUGUGCGCGUGCGAUAGCGAAGACGUUGCCACUCUGUAUUAAUAGUGUGUUUACUGUACCUGGAUGGGUAUCUGGCAAUAGUGACCACUUGCGUUGGAUUGGGAUCAGGAUUCCCGUUGACUAGGAGAGCUCUGAGAGCAACCGCACCGUGACUCUGGGCCAUACAUUUUUCUGAUGAACAACAUAUGAACUGUCUCUAGUAGUACUAGUAGAAUUUUAUUUGGGGUAAAGCAACCCAAUACAUUUUCUUCUGAAAGUUUUAGUCCAAAUGUACUUCUGUUUGCUCCGCUCCAAGGGAUAGAACAUGAGCGUCUCAAUUUCCCUUUUUCACUAAUUUAUAAAUCUUAUGCCACGCAAGAAAGAAAAUGAAGAGCUUCUGAGGGCAUGAAUUCCAUUGUUCCAUUAAUUUUGAGAGAUGCGGAAUAAUGCUGAUUGGAGGGUGUUGGGUUAAGAACAACAGAAUCGGAGAAAUUGGGUGAAUCUUCACGAGAUACGCAAUAACAAUAGCGGCAAUGAGGACCCGGAAGAUUGCUUGGUAACUAGGUAAUGCAAAACGUUGUACUUCGUAGGGUUCUCUAGUAUGCUAUUCUCAUCUUCCAACGGAGAGACAAUCGUCGCAAUCUCAUAGAAAGGCUUUGGCGAUGUAGCACAAGUAACGAGUUGGUUGUCAUGGCUAACGAAAGAUGAAGAGAAGGCAAAUCCUUCUUUUUCUUUGUUUUCCUCCAAUAUCUCAAAGCUCACCGGUACAUUGAACAAAAGAGGCAGAUAUAUGUAAGCGCGGCAUUGCACAAUGGCAAGAACAAUCUCUCUCGAUCUACAUGUAAUGCAAGUUCCUCAAAAUGUACAUAUAUAUAUAUAGGAUGGGGGUGUCAUUCUAGAAGUGUGAGUUUAGCAUUCAUUCAUGUAGUAUGUUCUUUGGGUGGUAACUGAAAAAAUGCAAAUAUAAACUACAGUUGAACACUAACAAAUGUUAUAUGUGUUUGGUGUUAGUUGUGAUAUAGCAAGAAAUGCAUGUGAAAAUGUGUGACGGAACACAUGUAGUCAUAAAACUUGAAUCACACUUCAAUCAAACCUUUACUCAGUCUAUCAGUACUCCUGCAAUGCCGAUUAUUCUAUUUAAAAUUUGAGAAAAAAAUUAUUAGCAACUUUCUUAAGAAAUGUUGACAAAUUCAGAGGAGGAGGGGAAGGGGAUAGUGCCAUAUGAUGGGAAUUUUGGCUGGUCUCAUGCCAUAGAUAAUUCUCACUGAGCAUAUGAAAUGAAAUUCACUUUAUAACCGAGACAGGGAAACUAAAAGUAUCCAAUAGCUAGGUCUAUUGUGCUAGCUGCCUUCAAGAACUCCCACGUCUACCAAAUCAAUAAAUCUCAUUGAACGUAUGAAAUGAAAUUCACUUUAUAACCGAGACAUGGAAACUAAAAGCAUCCAAUAGCUAGGUGUAUUGUGCUAGCUGCCUUGAAGAACUCCCACGUCUACCAAAUCAACAUGUUACCAUCCAAAUCACCUUCGGUGGAUGAAGAGACCAAGGAUAUGUUUGGUUGGUGGCCACAUGUGCCUCGCCAAAAUUUGGCAUCCUAUGGUAUUAUAGACCAUGCAUGGUCGUUGGCAAUUUUUUUUUCGAAAAACAUAGUACAGAUGAGGACGCUCACAACAUGCAUGCACACUCACUUCUAUGAGCACACGCACACAAAUCCUAUCCCUUUGAUGGAGCACCUCUGAGAGCCUGAGCCGACAGAUCUUGAGAUAGACAAAGUCGCAUAGUCUAUUAAAAGUCGCUCACAUAUCCCACAUGAUCGCCACAACUCUUGCCAAAAAUUUGGCCCAAAGGAGGCUAAGAAAUCUCCAACCAAUAUCUUUGUAUGGUUAAUGGUUGCUAAAAACUGGUAGGACAUAAGAUGGCAUGAACCGAACAUAAAGUUGAACAUAAAGCUUGAAACCAAAAGAUGUAUAAUUCACUAAUGAAACUAAAAUACGUACUAUUCACUAAGUUGAUGGUAGAUCAAAUCCUAGGCUUUGGCUUCCUCGUACAGUCAGUUCUGGUGCACAGUGUCCAUUCGAAAUGAUUGAGAUUUUGUCUGGUGUUCUUGUUUCAGUGGGUUGCAAAUUAUCGUGGCUUUAUCAAGUCCACGAGAUCGGCGACGAGCUGAUAAGGAACCGGUGCGACAGCUCUUUGGAUGGUCUUGGGACUUGUUCAAACCCGCCACCACUUCUUAUGUGGGAUUAUGUCACAACCCAAUCAAUUCUUAGCAGUGUAUGUGGCAUCCACAUACUACCACAUACGCAAACAUUGUAUACAUUGAUACAAUGAAUCAAGAUUUCGGUGGGAUCUCGAGGGGAUCACGAAGUUGGUAUCAAGGUGCUGGCUCUUUGAGUUGAUGACGAUAGCCGUCGGAGACGGAGUCAAGUUAGGUGGCACUCGAAGAUCGACGUACACGACUCCUGGGCUGGGAUGACAACACUUCGAGUUGGGUGGCGGCGGGGGUGGGAUGGCAACGCUUCAAGUCCUCGCGCAUGGGGGAUGGGGGAGAAGACGAGGAGGAAGUGACACUCGAUGGAUAGGAAGGGAGGAGCUAGGUUUCAUCGAUAAAAGACAAUGCUCCAUGGAAAGGACAAGGGAGGGCCUCGUGUUGUCCCAUUCCAAUCACCAAUGGGAAAGAAAGACACUAAUGUGUUCGAAGUGAUUGAGAUUUUGUCUGCGUCCUUGUUUCAGUGGGUUGCAAAUUAUCGUAGCUUUAUCAAGUCCACAAGAUCGGAGACGAGCUAAUAAGGAACUGGUGCGGGCCAGGAUGUAAAUGGACAGCUCUUUGGAUGUCCUUGUACUUGUUCAAACCCGCCACCACUUCUUAUGUGGGAUUAUGUCACAACCCAAUUAAUUCUUAGCAGCGUAUGUGGCAUCCACAUACUACCAAAUACGCAAACAUUGUAUACAUUGAUACAAUGAAUCAAGAUUUCGGUGGGAUCUAGAGGGGAUCACAAAGUUGGUAUCAAGGUGCUGGCUCUUUGAGUUGAUGACGAUAGCCGGGGGAGAUGGAGUCAAGUUUGGUUGCGCUCGGAGAUCGACGUACACGACUCCUGGGCUGGGAUGACAACACUUUGAGUGUACCCGGCGGGGGUGGGAUGGCAACCCUUCAAGUCCUCGCACACGGGGGAUGGGGGAGAAGACGAGGAGGAAGUGACACUCGAUGGAUAGGAAGGGAGGAGCUACGUUUCAUGGAUAAGAGCCGAUGCUCCAUGGAGAGAACAAGGGAGGGCCUGGUGUUGUCCCGUUCCAAUCACCGAUGGGAAAGAAAGACAACAAUGCCGCUAGAUGUUGUGGGUUUCAUGGCCUAUCCUGCAUACACCAUUUAAUCUUAUUGGCUAUCCCUGCUAGACUUAAUUUCACGGACGGCCUAUAAGAGCAUCUCUAGUGGAUGGUGUAUAUGGAGGUGGAUGCUAAAUAUACACGAUCAAAAUCAAAAAAUGUUUCCCAGUGGAUCGUGUAUCAGGUCGUGUACCUAUACACGUCGCUCCCACGAGCGUACCUGGCGUGGGACUAAACACGACCGAACCACGCUCGUGGCUCGUGAACAGAAGGGAAAAGAAGAGAAAAAAGCCUCCCGCUCCCGUUCCUCUCCGGCCGCCUCCCCAAGGUCGUCGUCGCCCCUCUCCGGCCGCCGCCCAAGGUCGCCGUCGCGUCUCCUCUCCGGCUGCUGCCCAAGGUAACCAUUUUUUUCCUUUCUCGCGAGCGGGAGCAGAGGGGCGGCAGCCGCACGUCCUGCAGCCCGAUCUGGCGGCGGCGCCGGUGCCGGCGCGCGCCCUGGUGAGAAUAGAGGGCGGGGACGGGGGGCUGGGCGACGAGUGGGGGCUGGGCGGCGGAGCGGUGGGGGGGAGGGGGAGAUGCAGGGGCGACGGCCGGGCGCGCCUGUCUGCUGGGGCGGCGGGACGAGCGGCGCCGUGGGGAGAUGCAGGGGUGGCGGCCUCUGGUGACCGGGCUGGCCUCUGCUGGAUCCUCUGCCUCUGGUGACCGGGCUGGCCUCUGCUUCCAGGUCCACAAUUUAAGAGGCAAUUUGGGUAAAUGGAUAGUAAAAUUGAUCAUAUGCACAAAGCAUAGAUCUUUGGAAGGAGAAGAAAAUAAUUUUUUGCUUGUCAGUUGAUGCCAGAUUGUGGUCUAAAAUAGCUGUGCAUUGGUUGCUUGCAGACGGAGACAGUUUGAAUUAGAUGAGAGGGUCAUGCUCAUCAACACAAGUGGUAUGACUGAUGUUCAAAAGCAGUUCUACCAAGCUAAGCAGAAGGAGAUCCUUGCUCGCGGCCUAGGGUAAUGUGAGCUAUAUGUUGUAGUUGUAAGAACUAUUUACUGCUUUCUGCUAGUUGAGGACAUGGAUUACAUCACUCAUUGCAUAAAUAUUUUUAUUGAUAGCUGCAUUACAAAGACAUGGAUUACUCGUUUUCAAACUUUUUCCACACAUGGUCAAUUAGAUCAAGUUUAAGCUGAUCAUGUUCAUCGAAAUUUCUAAUCCGAUGAGUCAUCUGAAUAAAAGAGCUCAGUUCUUCCGCAUGAGUACGAGAGACUGUGACUCUUUCUUCCGUUGCCUCAAAAGUGCAGCUUUGCCGACCAGUUUGUCGCUCCUCUUCAACUAUCAUAUUGUGCAUUAUGACACAAGCUUUCAUGACAUCAGUGAUUUCUUUACGUUUCCAUCCUUUAGCAGGUCCACGAACAAUGGCAAAACGGGAUUGCAGAACUCCAAAGGCUCGUUCCACAUCUUUCCUAGCCCCCUCUUGCUUCUUGGCAAAAGUUUUAUGCUUUCUGCUAGUUGGAGCUGGUAUGCUCUUCACAAAUGUUGCCCACCGUGGAUAGAUACCAUCUGCAAGGUAAUACCCCAUUGUGUACUGAUGGCCAUUGAUGCUAUAAUUCACUGGAGGAGUUUGGCCUUCGGCUAGCUUUGUAAAAAUAGGAGAACGUUAAAGAACAUUUAUAUCAUUCAGAGACCCUGGUAAACCAAAAUAAGCAUGCCAAAUCCAAAGAUCUUGUGAAGCAACUGCUUCCAAGAUCAUAGUGGGCUCGCUCACAUGGCCUUUAAACAUGCCAUGCCAUUUUUUGGGGCAAUUUUUCCACCCCCAGUGCAUGCAAUCUAUGCUCCCUAACAUACCGGGAAAUCCUCUUUCCUCCCCUAUUGCAAGUAACCUAGCAAUGUCUUCUUCAUUUGAAGAUCUCAGGUACUUUUCCCCAAAAACUUCACAAAUUUUGAUCACAAAUUUCUUGCAAGACUCUAAAUUAGUAGACUCAGCGGACCGGGUGUACUCAUCAACAUAAUCAGCUGCUAUUCCAUAUGUUAGUAUCCGCAUCGCCGCGGUCAUCUUUUGCAAAGGAUGUAACCCAAGAGCUCCAGAAGCACUUCUUUUUUGCGUAAAAUAAUCAUCAUAGUCAUGCUCAAGUAUACCAUCAGCUAUGCGGUUGAACAAAGUACGCGACAUCCUAAAUCUGUGCAUAAAAAUUAAAUGAGACAGGGAAAUGAAAAAAGGACCAAAGCAGAGAAGUGUACUAAUUACGAACCUUCGUCGAAACAAAUGUUUGGGAAAGCGAGGAACUUCUUUGAAGUAGUCGUCCCACUGAAGAAGAAAUCCGGCAUCUCUUCCUCGAUCGAUUGACUGACGUCCAUGCUUGGAACCGCCAUGGCGUCGAGCGUUCUUGCUCUCUUCCUCCUCGCGCUCGGCGAAUGCUGCAAGUAUGAGUUCAUCGUCGCCAGAUGAAGAUGACGAAGAACUUAUGUCCCAAGUGGAUGUGUUCAUUGUGUUGCGUGAGAAAUGAUAGAAAAAUCUAGGUGAGAAGAGAAGUCACAGGUAGAAAUGUGCUGGAAGAGGUGGUAGGGGUGGUUUAUAUAGAUCGGAAAUAUGGCGUUGGAAAUAUAGCUGUUUGAAAAUAUAGCCGUUGGAAUAUACACGUCUUAAUUUACACGUUUCACUGAAAAACUGGGAGGUGUAUAUUUUAGCAAGGUGUAUAUGGACAUGUAUAUAGAGAUAUAGACGUCCAAAUUUACACCAUCCACUAGGGACUGGUGGAAAAAGGGCCUUUGGUCGCGGUUCGCAACUGCCAUUAGUCGCGGUUGCGCAACCGCGACCGAACGGGCGCGACUAAAGGCCCCCCCCUUUAGUCGCGGUUGCUUAAGAACCGCGACUAAAGGCCCGUCCACGUGGGCGCCAGGUGGCCGUCGGGGCGGAGGACCUUUAGUCGCGGUUCUUCUGGCCAACCGCGACUAAAGGCCGCCGCAGGUUUAGGGUUUUAGCCCCCCCCCUUAAACUUGUUUUCUGUUUAAUUUGUAUUGUUUUAUUUCUUUUGUGCUUUAUUUUAAUUUUGAAGGAGUUUCAUAUAUUCUACGGUACUACAUACAUGCAUAUGAAUGUACAAUUUCAAAUAAAUUUGAAAUUAGAACCAAAAAGAAUUCAAGAGGAAUAUACAAUAUAUAUUCAAUAUCAUCGGAUGACCAUAUACAAUUUUGAACAAGUUUCCAUACAUGAUUUAAUGCAUAUAAAGUUCUACGUCCUCGUAAUAGUGUUCUCCUUUAGGAUGGAGGACUUCCCUGCUGAACCAUCCAGCUAGUUCCUCUUGAAGUGGUCGGAAGCGAGCUUCUGGACUAAGCAUCCACCGGAGGUUAUUCCUCUGAGCAUUGGUAUCACUCGGAACCCGCUCAGAGGUGUAUCUCUGGAUCAUCUCACAGACAUAGUAUCCACAUAGAUUGGUCUCCGGUGGCUGAAUAUCCCCAGCAUUCUUAGCCUUUAACAUUUUGAAUUCUAGCUCUUUUUUGAAUUCACCGACCUUUGUAUCUACGAACCGUCUCCAAACCCUACGAGGCAAAGAAAAUUAAAUGAACAAGAGAGUUAUUAAUUAGUUACUUGAUAUUAGGAAAUGAACGAAAUAGGCCGAUCGAUAUAGAGCGCAAAUGAAUGAAAAUAAUUACUUCUGCAACAUUCUUCUCAUGCCGCCCCAAAGCUUUGAAGAUCGUCGUUUAUCGACGUUUGUUCGGCAUCAUCUUGCUGACGGCGCCCUUCAUCUUCACCGUCAAGGUUCAGAUAAGAAGAGAUAUCAUCUUCUUCUUCUCCGGUCGGCACAUAUAGAAUAUCGCCGUUUAUGAUGCCGAACAUAUGUGCUUCACCGUCCGGAUCAUAGUUGUCCAUAAUCGGGUCAGCUCUAUCGUCCGCCAUUAUGUCAGUCCUGAAAACAUGUAGUAAAAACAAAUUAAUUAAGUGAAGAAGGGGGGCGGUGGCGGUGGCGGUGGCGAAAGGGCGGUGGCGAAAGGAGGGGGCGAGGAAGGGGUGGGAGAGGGUGUCGCGGUAGAGCGCGAGACGGGGCGGCAGACGACGGCGUCACGGAGAGGGGAGGCGAGGACAACACAUUUAUAACCCNNNNNNNNNNNNNNNNNNNNNNNNNNNNNNNNNNNNNNNNNNNNNNNNNNNNNNNNNNNNNNNNNNNNNNNNNNNNNNNNNNNNNNNNNNNNNNNNNNNNNNNNNNNNNNNNNNNNNNNNNNNNNNNNNNNNNNNNNNNNNNNNNNNNNNNNNNNNNNNNNNNNNNNNNNNNNNNNNNNNNNNNNNNNNNNNNNNNNNNNNNNNNNNNNNNNNNNNNNNNNNNNNNNNNNNNNNNNNNNNNNNNNNNNNNNNNNNNNNNNNNNNNNNNNNNNNNNNNNNNNNNNNNNNNNNNNNNNNNNNNNNNNNNNNNNNNNNNNNNNNNNNNNNNNNNNNNNNNNNNNNNNNNNNNNNNNNNNNNNNNNNNNNNNNNNNNNNNNNNNNNNNNNNNNNNNNNNNNNNNNNNNNNNNNNNNNNNNNNNNNNNNNNNNNNNNNNNNNNNNNNNNNNNNNNNNNNNNNNNNNNNNNNNNNNNNNNNNNNNNNNNNNNNNNNNNNNNNNNNNNNNNNNNNNNNNNNNNNNNNNNNNNNNNNNNNNNNNNNNNNNNNNNNNNNNNNNNNNNNNNNNNNNNNNNNNNNNNNNNNNNNNNNNNNNNNNNNNNNNNNNNNNNNNNNNNNNNNNNNNNNNNNNNNNNNNNNNNNNNNNNNNNNNNNNNNNNNNNNNNNNNNNNNNNNNNNNNNNNNNNNNNNNNNNNNNNNNNNNNNNNNNNNNNNNNNNNNNNNNNNNNNNNNNNNNNNNNNNNNNNNNNNNNNNNNNNNNNNNNNNNNNNNNNNNNNNNNNNNNNNNNNNNNNNNNNNNNNNNNNNNNNNNNNNNNNNNNNNNNNNNNNNNNNNNNNNNNNNNNNNNNNNNNNNNNNNNNNNNNNNNNNNNNNNNNNNNNNNNNNNNNNNNNNNNNNNNNNNNNNNNNNNNNNNNNNNNNNNNNNNNNNNNNNNNNNNNNNNNNNNNNNNNNNNNNNNNNNNNNNNNNNNNNNNNNNNNNNNNNNNNNNNNNNNNNNNNNNNNNNNNNNNNNNNNNNNNNNNNNNNNNNNNNNNNNNNNNNNNNNNNNNNNNNNNNNNNNNNNNNNNNNNNNNNNNNNNNNNNNNNNNNNNNNNNNNNNNNNNNNNNNNNNNNNNNNNNNNNNNNNNNNNNNNNNNNNNNNNNNNNNNNNNNNNNNNNNNNNNNNNNNNNNNNNNNNNNNNNNNNNNNNNNNNNNNNNNNNNNNNNNNNNNNNNNNNNNNNNNNNNNNNNNNNNNNNNNNNNNNNNNNNNNNNNNNNNNNNNNNNNNNNNNNNNNNNNNNNNNNNNNNNNNNNNNNNNNNNNNNNNNNNNNNNNNNNNNNNNNNNNNNNNNNNNNNNNNNNNNNNNNNNNNNNNNNNNNNNNNNNNNNNNNNNNNNNNNNNNNNNNNNNNNNNNNNNNNNNNNNNNNNNNNNNNNNNNNNNNNNNNNNNNNNNNNNNNNNNNNNNNNNNNAAAGGGUUUUGGCGCCGCUUCCGUUCCCGCGCAGAAAGACCCUUUAGUCGCAGUUGGGGACAACAACCGUGACUAAAGGGUACCCUUUAGUCGCGGUCCGCCUCCCCAACCGGGACUAAAGGUCUGUGCUAGAACUGGCGCGGUGCGGUGGGAUGUUUAGUCCCACCUCGCUAGCCGAGAGGCUUCGACAGUGGUUUAUAAGCGCGGCUGCGCUCACCACUUCGAGCUCCUCUCAAAUGCAGGCUUACGGGCCUAUUCUGUCACUAUGUGCCUGUGGGCCUACUCGGCCUUCUGCGGGCCUGAAUCCUGGCCCUUUAAUGGGUUUCUAGUCGUAUUCAGGCCGUGGUGGCCCAGUAGGUGGCAUAUUUUCUUUUUUUCUUCCUUUUUUCCUUUUUCCUUUUUUCUUCUGUUUUUUUCUUCUGUUUUUUUCUUAUGUUUUUCUUCUGUUUGUUUUUUUCUUCUGUUUUUCCUUUUUUUUCUGUUUUUUUCUUCUGUUUUUUUCUUCCUUUUUCCUUCUUUCUUCUUCUUCCUUUUUCCUUUUAAAAUCAGAAAAAUAAAACUAAUUCAUUUUAAAACCCCUUGAAGGUUUGACAAAAGGUUUGAUACAUCAUUCAGUUCAUCGACCAAAUACAAAGUUUGGUAGAAUAAAUUAUUACACAUCAAUUCUUCCCUUGUGUCCCUGCUUGCUUACGAUUGUGCCGUAUCCAUGGAGCAUCCUCAUCAUUUAACUUAAUGCUUGGGUCAAUGUUCACUUUGAAGGGCGGAAUUUCACCAAACAUAUUAUAAUCUUCUGACAUGUCUGUCUUGUCCUCCACUCCCACGAUGUUUCUUUUCCCUGAAAGAACAAUGUGGCGCUUUGGAUCAUCGCAUGAUGUACUGAUCGUUUUCUUAUCUUUCCGUUUCCUCGGUUUGCUACUCAUGUCCUUCAAAUAAAAAACCUGAGCGACAUCUUUGGCAAGGACGAAUGGUUCGUCAAGGUAACCAAGAUUGUUGAAAUCCACCAUUGUCAUUCCGUAUUGCUCGUCCACCUUUACCCCACCUCCUGUUAGCUUGAACCAUUUGCACCGGAACAAAGGGACCUUAAAGGAGGGUCCAUAGUCAAGUUCCCAUAUCUCCUCUAUGUAACCAUAAUAUGUGACCUUUUGCCCAUUCUCGGUUGCUGCAUCAAAGCGGACACCACUGUUUUGGUUGGUGCUCUUUUUAUCUUGGACGAUCGUGUAAAAUGUAUUCCCAUUUAUCUCGUACCCUUGGAAAGUCGUUAUAGUCGAAGAUGGUGUCUUGGACAACAUGUACAGCUGAUCUACAACAUCAUUGUCAUUCAUUAAAUGUUUUCUCAACCAACUGCCGAAAGUCUCCAUGUGGGCCUUCCUAAUCCAGGAUUCAGGCUUCCCCGGGUUGUCCGAGCGUAAAAUAUUCUUGUGUUUCUCAAAGUACGGAGCCACCAAGCUGGAAUUGGUCAGUACAGUGUGGUGUGCUUCAGUCAGAGAAUGGCCGUCCAUACAUAUCGUUGAUUUCCUUCCGAUCGUGCCUUUUCCACUUAGUCUCCCCUCGUGCCGCGAUCGAGGAAGACCAAUCGGCUUAAGGUCAGGAACAAAGUCAACACAAAACUCAAUUACCUCCUCAUUUCCAUAGCCCUUGGCGAUGCUUCCUUCUGGCCUAGCACGGUUACGAACAUAUUUCUUUAAUACUCCCAUGAACCUCUCGAAGGGGAACAUAUUGUGUAGAAAUACAGGACCGAGAACGAAAAUCUCUUCGACUAGGUGAACCAGGAGGUGCGUCAUAAUAUUGAAGAAGGAUGGCGGGGACACCAACUCGAAACUGACAAGGCAUUGGAUCACAUCGUUCUGUAACCGUGGUAGAACUUCUGGAUUGAUUACCUUCUGAGAGAUUGCAUUGAGGAAUGCACAUAGCUUCACAAUGGCUACUCGAACAUUUUCCGGCAGGAGCCCCCUCAAAGCAAUCGGAAGCAAUUGCGUCAUAAUCACGUGGCAGUCGUGAGACUUCAGGUUUUGGAACUUUUUCUCCGCCAUGUUUAUUAUUCCCUUUAUAUUGGACGAGAAUCCAGACGGGACCUUCAUACUGCUCAGGCAUUCAAAAAAGAUGACCUUCUCUUCUUUGGUCAGAGCGUAGCUGGCACGACCUUGAAACCAUUCCGGAUGCCGGUCAUCAGGGUCUUUCAAACGUUGCUGGUCCUGCCGUGCUUCCUUUGUAUCAUUUGUCUUCCCAUACACGCCCAAGAAGCUUAGGAGGUUCACGCAAAUAUUCUUCGUAAUGUGCAUCACGUCGAUUGCAGAGCGGACAUCUAGGACUUUCCAAUAUUCUAGCUCCCAGAAUAUAGAUUUCUUCUUCCACAUGGCUGCGUGCCCGCCAGCUCCCUUCGGAACUGAUUGUCCGCCAGGACCCUUUCCAAAGAUGACUUUCAAAUCCUUGACCAUAUCAAAUACCUCAGCACCAGUGCGUUCCGCAGGCUUCGGCCGGUGAUCUGCCUUGCCGUUGUAAUGCUUGCCUUUCUUUCUUACUGGAUGAAUUUUCGGAAGAAAUCGACGAUGCCCAAGGUACACGUUCUUCUUACAAUUUGGCAAAUGUACACUUUCAGUCUCAUGUAAGCAGUGCGUGCAUGCAUUGUAUCCCUUAUUUGACAGUCCCGAAAGGUUACUAAGAGCAGGCCAAUCGUUGAUGGUUACGAAAAGCAACGCUCGUAGGUCAAAUUCCUCUUGUUUGUGCUCAUCCCACACACGGACACCACCCCACAGCUGUAAAAGUUCAUCAACUAAUGGCCUUAGGUACACAUCGAUGUCGUUGCCGGGUUGCUUCGGACCUUGGAUGAGCACUGGCAUCAUAAUGAACUUCCGCUUCAUGCACAACCAAGGAGGAAGGUUGUAGAUGCAUAGAGUCACGGGCCAGGUGCUAUGGCUGGAGCUCUGCUCGCCAAAAGGAUUCAUGCCAUCCGUACUUAGAGCAAAUCUUAUGUUCCUUGCGUCAGCUGCAAAAUCUUUGAACCAUCUGUCGAUCUUUCUCCAUUGCGUUCAAUCUGCGGUGUGUCUCAACUCCCCGUCCGACUUACGGUCCUCUUUGUGCCAUCGCAACAACUUGGCAUGCUCUUUGUUCCUGAACAGACGUUUCAACCGUGGUAUUAUAGGAGCAUACCACAUCACCUUGGCGGGAACCCUCUUCCUGGGUUUCUGGCCCUCAACAUCGUCAUCAGGGUCAUCGCCUCUGAUCUUAUAACGCAAUGCAGUGCAUACCGGGCAUUCAUUCAAAUUCUCGUAUUCACCGCGGUAGAGGAUGCAGUCGUUGAUGCAUGCAUGUAUCUUCAGAACCUCUAAACCUAGAGGGCAGACAACCUUCUUUGCUUCGUACGUACUGGCGGGCAACUCGUUAUCCUUUGGAAACAUAUUCUUCAACAUUUUCAGCAAGUUUUCAAAUGCCGAGUCAGCUACACCUGCCUCUGCCUUCCAUUUCAGCAAAUCCAGUGUGCAGCCCAGCUUUUUCAGACCAUCAUCGCAUCCGGGGUACAGCGCCUUUCUGUGAUCCUCUAACAUGCGAUCCAAAUUCUCCCUCUCCUUUUCAGUUUCGCAGCGUCUCCGUGCAUCAGCAAUGGUCCGACCAAGAUCAUCAACGGGAUCAUCACGUGCCUCUUCUUCACCUUCCCCUUCACCUUCAGCAUCCUCCAUGAAAGUAUCACCGAAAUGAGCAAGAUAGCUUUCAUCGAUGAAAUCAUCCCCUUCUUCAUCUUCUUCCAUUAUAACCCCUCUUUCUCCAUGCUUGGUCCAACAAUUAUAGCUUGGCAUGAAACCGUGCCGAAGCAGAUGCAUGUGAACAUCUCUUGAGGAAGAGUAACCCUUCUGAUUCUUACAGAUAACACAUGGACAGAUAACAAAACCCCCCUGCUUGUUCGCAUUAGCCACUACGAGGAAAUCUUUCAAACCCGUAGUAAACUCGCCGGAGAGUCGGUUACCGUACAUCCAUUGCCGAUUCAUCUGCAUUAUUAUAAUAUAAAAUAUAUAAUUAACCAUCAUGCAUUUGUUAAACUAACUAGCUACAAAUAAUAUAAAUUAAACAAUGAACUGCACACAUGCAUAUUUUAUCAAUGACACACAUGCAUGAAAGGUUCAAGUUGCUAACCGCGAUCGAGGAGGAAAAAAUAAAUGAGGAACCUCAAGUGUGGCUCCAACACUUCAUAUCAUGUUUGUUUCACCCUCUUAGGGCAUUUCAUCAAACACCUUGUGUGCAUAAGAGGAACCAAAAGCAAACCUACACCCCCUUGUGAAGCUUGUGAAGAGAAGUGGCACCAAAUGGCUAAGUGAGCGUGCUGAACUGGUAUAUAUAGGGGAGGAGCUUUAGUCGCGGUUGGCCUGGCCAACCGCGACUAAAGCCCCUCACGUGCACCAGCUGGCCACCGAGCGCCCUGGGCCCAGGCCUUUGGUCGCGGUUCGUCUGCCGAACCGCGACUAAAGACUUCAUUAGUCGCGGUUCCUACAGUUUCGCGACUAAUGUGGCUGGACGGAAGCCUCUUUUUCUACCAGUGUAUGCUCUAAGGGACAACCGCCACUUACACCUUGAGGUGCGAGGAACAUGCCCCAUCCGACUAAAAAGAUUUAAAUUCAUACGCGUUGUUAUUUACGGCGAUAUACCGGCAUGGUAACAUAAGGACGACGUCAACCGCAACACACGCCAACACCCGUCAGCACACCAUCGGAGCAGUAGUGUCGGCAACGCAACAUCGCCUAUCGUGACGUGACGGGGCAUUGCCGCUUGUAACAUCGGGCGUGGAGAUGCUCGGUUCCGUACCAGUUUCGCCAACAUAUUGGCUAGAUAUUUGUUAGAGCAUCUCUAGACCUCUUAAAAAGGGGCGUCUUGUAAAAAUCUGGCGACUAUACCGGUUUGGUCCUUUUUUUGGGCCAGACCAGAGCCCAUAUAGUCGCCUGGCUUGUAAUUUUUUUAUACUGGCCCACAAGCCGCCCCCUCCAUACAGUAUAUGUACACGUUUGCGCGGGUGGAAUACAGGUUGAAACCUAUUUGCACGCCGCCACAUUUCCUGAUCCCCUUCUCGCUUUCUCGUCGUCGGCGACUUCAAUUCUCCCUUUCCCCCUCUCGAUGUGGCACGGAAUGUGGUCAGCGGGCCGCGGUACCGGCGGUGGUGACGACCCCGAGUGGAGGCGGUGCGUUGCCGCUGAUGGCGCAAGGAAAAGGGCAACGAGACGGUACACUAACCAAGGUAUCUCACCGCCGUCGUCGCUCCUCCGCUGUGAGACAGAGGAGUACGACCGCAAGCAGGUGCUCCUUCGAUGCGGACUGUCCUCUGACUCCUCCGUCAUGGGCAGCUUCUCCGCCGCGGGCAACUCCACCGCCGGUGCCUCGAGCUUGCGGACGCCGCUCAUCCUAGUGAAAAGGGAGCCGGAGGAGCUCCCGACGCUCCGAGAGAUGAAGAAGGAGCCGGAGCCAGAGCGGCGGGGAGGUGGCGUCAUCGGGCCGGAGGAUUUCCUCCCCUCGCGGAGGCAGGCGUCUUUGAGGCCGCCAUCGUCGUGCGCAGUGCACGAGAGAAGGAGGAGUUGGAGCAGCGCCAUCGAUGGGAAGCUGACAUCGACGCAGUCCUCCUCGAGCAGGGGCUAGCGAAGGAGCAAGACUUCGUCGACAACCUCGAGGCAUGGCGCCGCGAAGCCAAGGCGCGGGACGACAUCUACAUCGACCCCGUCUCCUCCUCCGAUGACUGAGCUCCUCCGCCACCGCAGCGUCGCCGCCGCACCCGCAGGGCUCCGGUGAGCCCAAUUUUGGCCAGUUUUAUGGUUAGGGUAGGCUAACGCCAAUAUGUAAUCGAUGAACUAUAUUAUGUAUAAAUGACCAUCUCUAUUAUAUGUAUGUAGGAAUGAUCAUGUCUACUAUUUCUUGUUCAUUCCUUGUGCGAAACAUCUUUUCUAAAUUUACAGUUUCAUAUAAGGUUUCUGCUUGGCCGCAGCCAAAUUUGCCCCUAAGGGCAAACACGAACUGUAAACACACUGUAAGGAUCUGCUUGACGACGACGGAGCCGGCGUCGGAGGUGACGAUGUAGACGAAGUUGAGGUUGCCGUCGCCGACCUCCUUGACGGCAAGGCCGUCGACGCGGCCGCCGAGGCUGGCGGCCAGCGCCGGGGUCGCCCGGAUGUAGGCCACCAGCGACGCCUCGUCCAGCGGGCAGAAGCCUGGCGCCUCGUCGCCGUCGGCCAUGGCGUGCUGGCGCGACGGCGGAGAGGAUCGGGACUGAGGGAGUGGGGAGUCGCCGGAGUUUACGUUGUCGCGUUGGGUGUACGAGAGCAGAGACACUGCCACUCUGUAUUAAUAGUGGGUUCUCUGAACCUGGACUUGUUUACGGGCAUCUGGCAACAGUGAACACUUGCGUGCGUGCGGGAGGAUUGGGAUCAGGAUUCCCGUUGACUACGAGAGCUAUUGAGAGCAGCCGCACCCUGACUCGUGGGCCCAUACAAUUUCUGGUGAAGAACACAUAAACUGCCUCUAGUAGAAUUUUAUUUGGAGGAAAACAACCCUAUACAUAUUUUCUCUGAAAUUUUUAGUCCAAAUGCACCUUCUCUUUGCUCCACUCCAAGGGAUAGAACAUGAGCGUCUCAAAUUUCCUUGUUUUCACUAAUUUACAAGUCUUGUGCCACGCGAGAAAGAAAAGGAGCAGCUUCCGAGGCCAUGAACUCCAUUGCUUCAUUAAUUUCCAGGGGAGAGGAAUGACGCGGUUUGGAGGGUGUUGGUUCAAGGACAACAGAAGCGGAGUAAAAGACGGAAUCUUCACGAGAUACGCAAUAACAAUAGCGGCAAUGAGGAUUUGGCGGAUAGCUUGGUACCUAGGCAAUGCAAAACGAUGUACUUUGUGGGGUUGUUUAUUGUGCUAUACUCGUCUCCCCGCGGAGAGACAAUCGUCACAAUCUCAUGGAAAGAGGCCGGCCAUGCAGCACAAGUGGCAAGUUGGAUAGCACCACUAACGUAGCAAGGGAAGAAGGCAAUUCCUUCUUUUUCUUUGUUUUCCUCCAACAUCUCAAAGCUCACAAGUACAUUAAACAGAAGAGGAAAAUAGAUGUAAGCCCGACAUUCGAUCGAGAUGCAAGUUCUCAAAACGUACAUAUAUAUAGGAUGGGGGUGUCAUUCUAGAUGUGUGAGUUUAGCAUUCAUGCAUGUAGUAUGUUUUUUGGGUGGUCAUUGAAAGGUUGUGAAUAUAAACUACUAUCUAAAGCUAACAAAUGUUAUAUGUUGUUGGUGUUAGUUGUAAUGUGGAGAGUAAUGCGUGUGAAAAUGUGUAAUGAAACACAUGCAGUCAUAGAAGUUGAAUCAUGCUUCAGUGUCCACACAUCAAACCUUUGCUCAGUAUACCAGUUUUGGUGGAAUGCUAAUUAUUGUAGAAUUUAAAACUUUAAAAAGAAUGACAACUUUCUUAACAAAUAGGAAGGGAUGUUGAGAAAUAGAGAGAGAGAGAGAGAGAGAGAGAGAGAGAGAGAGAGAUGAUGGGAAUUUAGGCUGGUCUCAUACCAUAGAUAUAUCGCAUUGAGCUUGUGAAAUGAAAUUUACUUGACGACCAAGACAUGGAAACUAAAAGCAUCUACUCCCUCCGUUCCAAAAUUGAUGACCCAACUUUGUACUAAACUUAGUAUAAAGUUGAGUCAUGUAUUUUGGAACGGAGGGAGUAAUAGCUAGGUGUAUUGUGUUAACUUCCUCGAAGAACUCCCACGCCUGUGAAAUCAUGUUAUCAUCCAAAUCAUCUCAGGUGGAUGAAGAGACCGGUAUAUGUUUGGUUGGUGGCCAAAUGUGGUUUCCCUAGAUGUGGCUCGACCGUGCUUUUAUCCGCCUCUGAUCCGACCGAUCAAGCACAUGAUAUACACUUGGGUGGUCCAUUAAGAUUGGGGGAGCUUCUUUCGUAACUCCCAUAAUUUCUUUGUCCUCUGCCUCCAGCAACUAGAGCUACAUCAUCUCGUUCAUUAUUGAGAAUAGGCCGGUGACCGGAUAAGAGCCGUGACUAUGUCGGUAGCAUUAUAAAAGGAAGGAAAUUCACUAUUUCUCUCAUUUGUUUACCUUCGAGGUCCUAGCUCCAGACCCGGAUGUGAUUAACAAGGUGCGGGUGGGGGUCAUGGCCUUUAUCUGUGUCCCUCUUUGAGCAUUGGGGGAAACCCUAGGUCCGGUUCUUUGGAUCGGAUGGCGGCGGCGUCAUGACGUCGCACCCCUUGUUGAAGGCGCUAUCUUGUUUGCUCGCGGUGCCCCGAUGUUGGAUUUGAAGAUGUUUGACAUUGUGCUAGUUUGGUUUGCCUCUCUGUUUAGGACUAGUGGGUUUAGUUGUGUCAUUUCCCCCUUUCGGGCUGAGCACCCCUUGUCUCUUUGCUCCGGAUGCCAUGAUCAUGCCUCCUUGCAUUCAUCUCAUGUGUUGUAUCCUCUAUUGUACUCAUUCACUUUCUUCUAUCAAAGAAAAGAUACGCAAGCUUUGCGUAUUCGUGAAAAAGAUGAAUAAUCACUAAGUAAGGCACCAAAAUUUUGGCAUCCUGCAGUAUUCUAGACCGUACUUGGUCACUGGCUAAAAGUUUAUUCUGAGAAACAAAGUACAGAUGUGGGCGAUCACAAUGCACAUGCACACUCAGCCACCAGCGACGCCUCGUCCAGUGGGCAGAAGCCUUGCGCCUCGCCGGCGGCGGCCAUGGCGGGCGGGCGGGCGAGCUAGAUCGAUACUGAGGGAGUGGGGAAUCGCCGGGGCUUACACUGUCACGGCGGGUGUGCGAGAAUAGAGACGUUGUCGCUCUGUAUUAAUAGUGCGUUCUCUGAAUCUGGACGGGUAUCUGGCAAUAGUGACCACUUGCGUGUGUGCGGGAGGAUUGGGAACAGGAUUCCCAUUGACUGACUAGGAGAGCUAUUGAGAGACUCUAGGCCCAUAUAUUUUCUCAUGAAGAAAAUAUAAACUUCUUAAUAAAAUAGUAUACCAAAGCAACCCCAUACAUUUUUUCUCUGGAAGUUUUAUUCCAAAUGCUUCUCUUUGCUCCGCUCCAAUGGAUAGAACAUGUGCCUCUCAAAUUUCCUUGCUUUCACUAACUUACAAAUCUUGAGCCACGCAAAAAAAGAAACGAAAAAACUACCAACUACCAAUGGCAGGAAUUCCAUUGCUUCAUUAAUUUUGAGAGGUUCAGAAUGAUGCCGAUUGGAGGGUGUUGGGUUAAGAACAACACAGCCGGAGAAAAAGACUGAAUCUUCACGUGAUAUGCAAUGACAAUAGCAGCGAUGAAGAACAGUCCUAUAGCUUGGUAUUUAGGCAAUGCAAAACGCUGUACUUUGUAGGGUUCUUUAGUAUGCUAUACUCAUCUUUCCGUGGAGACACAAUCGUCGCAAUCUCAUUGAAAGACCUCAGCGAUGCAACACAAAUAACAAGUUGGAUGUCAACGGUAAUGAAGGAUGGCGAGCAGAUGAUUCCUUCUUUUUCUUUGUUCUCCUCCAACAUCUCAAAACUCACAAUACAUUGAGCAAAAGAAAGAGAUGAAUGUAAUCCUAGCAUUAUACAUUGAUGAGCACUAACUCUCUCAAUCUACAGGCAAGUUUCUCAAGCAUACAUAUAUAUAGAGGAUGGGGGUGCCAUCCUAGAAGUGUGAGUGUAGCAUUCAGCCAUUCACAUAGCAUGUUCUUUGGGUGGUCAUUGAAGUACCACAAAUAUAAACUACAGCCAAAAGCUAAUAAAUGUUUAGGUGAUUGGUGGUAGCCGUGAUGUAGUCAGAAAUGCAUGUGGCUAUGUGUGAUGAAACUCAUGUAUAGAAUAUCAUACUUCAAUUUUCAGGCAUCAAAACUUCGGUAAGUCUAUCAGUAUUGAUCCAAUACAAAUUAUUCUAUUUAAAAUUUGAGAAAAAAGAUUGACAACUAUCUUAACAAACAUGAAGGGAUGUUGACAAAUUCACUGUGUGUGGGUGGGUGAGAGAGAGAGAGAGAUGAUAAGAAUUUAGGUUGGUCCUAUGCCACAGAUAUCUCGCCAAAGGUUUGGCUGGUAAGAGCCUAAGAAAUAUCUAGCAAAUAUCUCGGCCAAUCAAUGGUUGCAAAAAAAAAACAUUUCUAUAGGAAAAGAAGAAAACAUGAACCAAACAUAAUGCAAGACGGUCUCCAAACCUAGGAGACCAAAAGUAUGUAUAGUUUACUGAGUUGAUGGCAAAUCAAAGCCUAGGUUUUGGCUUCCUCGUACAAUCAAUUUUGGCGCACUAUGUCCAUUCGAAGUGGUUGAGCUUUUGUAUGUGUUUUUAUUUCAGACUUUGUCGGUGGGUAACAAAUUAUCUCACGAAGUUCCGUUCAGUUUUGUGUGGUUGAAGGUUUCAAGUUUUGGAUGAGAUAUCGAUAUGAGGAGAAUAAGGAGUGACAAGACCCUAAGCUUGGGGAUAUCCAAGGCACCCCAAGGUAAUAUUCAAGGAAGACUCAAGCAACUAAGAUUGGGUAUGCGUCAGUCAGGGUCAGAUGGGACGGGGAGGGAUGAGAGGGGGGCGGGGGACGGACCUGCUUAACGACAACGGGGCCAGCGUCGGAGGUGACGAUGUAGACGAAAUUGAGGUUGUCGUCCCCGGUCUCCUUGACGGCGAGGCCGUCGACGCGGCCGCCGAGGCUGGCGGCCAGCGCUGGGGUCGCCCGGAUGUAGGCCACCAGUGUCGCCUCAUCCAGCGGGCGGAAGCCCUGCGCCUCGUCAGCGGCGGCCAUGGCCGGCGGGCGGGCGAGCUGGAUCCGGGGGACUGAUGGAAUGGGGAGUCGCCGGGGUUAACGCUGUCGCGGCGGGUGUGUGUAUGUGUGCGAGAACAGAGACGCUACCGCUCUGUAUUAAUAGUGCGUUCUCCGAACCUGGACGGGUAUCUGGCAAUAGUGACCACUUGCGUGCGUGCAGGAGGAUUGGGAUCAUGAUUCCCGUUGACUAGGAGAGCUCUGAUGAGAGCAACCGCACCGUGACUCUUGGUCAUACAUUUUCUGAUGAACAAAACACACUUCUUGGUAGAAUUUACAAAUCUCCAUGUUUUCACUAAUUUACAAAUCUUGAGCCAGGCAAAAAAGAAAUGAAAAAACCACCAAGGGCGGGAAAUUCCAUUGCUUCAUUAAUUUUGAGGAGAGAGGAAUGACGCGGAUUGGAGGGUGUCGGGUUAAGAACAACAUAAUAGGAGAAAUUGGGCCAAUCUUCACGAGAUGCGCAAUAACAAUAGCUGCGCUGAAGAUUGAUCCAAUAGCUUGGUAUCUAGGCAAUGCAAAACGAUGUAGUUCGUUGGAUUCCUUAGUAUGCUAUACUCAUCUUCCCGCAGAGAGACGAUCGCCGCAAUCUCAUGGAAAGACGUCGGCGAUGCAACACAAAUAACAAGUUGGAUGUCAACACUAAUGCAAGACGAAGAGAAGGCAAUUCCUUCUUUUUCUUUGUUUUCCUCCGGUAUCUCAAAGCUCGCCAGUACAUUGAACAAAAGAGGGAAAUAUAUGUAAGCGCGGCAUUACACAAUGGCAAGGACUAUCUCUCUCGAUAUAUAUAGUAUGUCCUUUGGGUGGUCGUUUGGGUGGAGGUGUCAUUCCAGAAGUGUGAGUUUAGCAUUCAUUCAUGUAGUAUGUCCUUUGGGUGGUCACAGAAAAAAUGUGAAUACAAACUACAGUUGAAAACUAACAAAUGUUAUAUGUGUUUGGUGUUAGUUGUGAUGUAGCAAGAAAUGCAUGUGAAAAUGUGUGAUGAAACACAUGUAGUCAUAAAACUUGAAUCACACUUCAAUUUGCACCUAUCAGACCUUGAGUAAGUCUAUCAGUACUCGUGCAAUGCCGUUUAUUCUAUUUAAAAAUUGAAAAAAAAUUAUUAGCAACUUUCUUACGAAAUGAUAACAAANNNNNNNNNNNNNNNNNNNNNNNNNNNNNNNNNNNNNNNNNNNNNNNNNNNNNNNNNNNNNNNNNNNNNNNNNNNNNNNNNNNNNNNNNNNNNNNNNNNNNNNNNNNNNNNNNNNNNNNNNNNNNNNNNNNNNNNNNNNNNNNNNNNNNNNNNNNNNNNNNNNNNNNNNNNNNNNNNNNNNNNNNNNNNNNNNNNNNNNNNNNNNNNNNNNNNNNNNNNNNNNNNNNNNNNNNNNNNNNNNNNNNNNNNNNNNNNNNNNNNNNNNNNNNNNNNNNNNNNNNNNNNNNNNNNNNNNNNNNNNNNNNNNNNNNNNNNNNNNNNNNNNNNNNNNNNNNNNNNNNNNNNNNNAAUCUCACUUAGCGUAUGAAAUGAAAUUCACUUUAUAACCGAGACAUGGAAACUAAAAUAAUCUAAUAGCUUGGUGAAUUGUGCUAGCAGCCUUGAAGAACUCCCACGUCUACCGAAUCAGCGUGCUAUCAUCCAAAUCACCUUCGGUGGAUGAAGAGACCAAGGAUAUGUUUGAUUGGUGGCCACAUGUGCGUCCCCAAAAUUUGGCAUCCUAUGGUAUUCUAGACCGUGCAUGGGCAUCGGCAUUUUUAUUUUUAUUAUUGAGAAACAUAAUACUACGAUGAGAUGCUCACAACGUGCAUGUGCACUCACCCCUACGAAUACAUGCACACAAAUUCUAUCUUUUUGAGCAUCUCUGAGAGUCUGAGCUGGUAGAUCUUGAGAUUGACAAAGUCACGUAUUCUAUGAAAAGAUGCUCACAUCAUUGUCACAACUCUUACCGAAAAUUGUGUUAAAAAUAACUCUUACUGAAAAUUGGUAGGACAUAAGAUGGCAUGAACCGAACAUAAAGCUGAGCAUAAAGCUUGAAACCAAAAUACGUAUAGUUCACUAAUGAAAUCAAAAUGUAUAAAUCACUAAGUUAAUGGUAGAUCAAAGCCUAGGCUUUGACUGCUUCCUCGUACAGUUCGGAUGCACGCUAUCCAUCCGAAGUGAUUGAGCUUUUGUCCGUGUCCUUGGCUCAUUGGACGGCAAAUUAUCGUGGCUGUAGACAAGUCCAUGAGAUCUGUGAGUUGAUAAAGUGGGACCCGAGAGCAUCUAUAGCCAAACUUUUCAAAUCUGGCCCCUCAAACAUUUGGGCGCGUCCAUAUACACUGAUUGGUUUCGCCUUAAAUAAUGCAUUUCACAUCCGAACAUCUCAAUUAUCAUAUCUUAAAUUCAUGCAACUACGUUGAUGCACACACAUUGUCCGGCUACUGGAUCCCACUACACUAAACAUGCCACCAGACUACCAAAAUUUGGCAUGUCUGGCUAUGGUGGAGAUCAUCCACGGCUGUCCUUGCCUUUCCCGGUGCCCUAGCCGCCCUUAUCGCGGAAGUACCGGUCGAAGACGCAGUAGGGACCGAGCCGGAUCUGCUCGUCGCCAGAGUUGUCCUCCUUCGGUGGCAGUUCGGAUUCUGCUCUCGAGGAGGGCGCGUAUAUUCCCCAUUGUCGUUUCUUCACAAUAUUGACACAGAUGGCUUCCUCCUCUAUAGCCUCCCGCGCCGCCGCAUCAGCCGCCUUCGUCGCCACCAUUUCCGCCGCUAUAUGGGCCUCGGCGGCCCUUAUCCUCUCCUUCCCACGACAGUCUACCCGUUCCCGGUGGGACUCAUAGUAUGCCCGACCAGUGAUGGGGAAGGAGAGAUUUUCCGGCUGCCGGGAUCGCGAUGAUCCAGCCCCAGAGGACCUGAGCGCCGUUGAGCCGACGCAACGUAGUCAUGCCGGACAGAUCCGUUCGUCGGCCGAGCGCUGUCCUUCCGGCAGCGGCGAAGUGCAAUGCGGACCGCCAUUGCCUCCUUCAAACCGCACGGGAUGACACCCCAAUCGACGGAUCCAAACUGGUCGGAGUCAGAUCCGCUGCCCGCCAUGCCGGAGACGGCCGAAAAUCGCCGGAGGAGCUAGGGUGGCGGAGGGAGUGGAUGAGAGAGGAGUGUGAAGUGGCUAGGAUUUGGUCCAGUGAACGGAUGAGGAUGAAUAUAUGCGGGGUCUGAUGGGCCAGCGUGGGCUGGAUUCGACGUAGCGGACGCGCGGGGCGCCCUAUUCCGCCUCAUAAUUGGGCCUGCAUAUGAGGGAUGCCGGUCAGUCCGGGCGUUUGAUACUCGUUUGAGGUGUCCAUCUAGAUCAAAAUAUCGUGACCAGUCAGUGACCAAACAAAGCGCCCAAACGUUUUAAAAGGGUUUAGGACGCCCAACCGUAGAUGCUCUCACCGAGCCGCUAACCGAACCGAUGCGGGACGCCGCUCCGGAGUACCUUGGCCGGCCCCGCGGGCUCCAACAAAUGUAAUCUUUGUAUGCGUCGUCCCUUGCAGCCAUAGAAACGGCAUGGAAACAUACGCACGGCGUCAAGGUGCCAUUUUGUUCAGAGGAAGCGGCAUGAAAACGGGCUCCGGCCCGCUGAGAAGAAGUGCCAAUUUCUUCGGCCGCGACGGCUAGUCUGGAUCGGAGCGCAUGAUUCAGCAUGCACCAUGGCAUGCCUGGGCACUCUCGCCCAUAACAGCCACACUUGUAUUUCGAGGCCGUUUGCUCCAGCAAGUCUACGUAUAAUAUCCACGUGCUCCCUUUGGCAAGGAAAGCGAGAGAGCAACAUUACCAUGACUUCCGGGGAGUCGCCGGGGUUUAGGCUGUCGCGGGCGGGUGUGUGCGGGAACAGAGACGCUGCCGCUCUGUAUUAAUAGUGCGUUCUCUGAACCUGGACGGGUAUCUGGAUUGGGAUCAGGAUUCCCAUUGACUAGGAGAGCUAUGAGAGCAGCCGCACCUUGACGCUGGACCCAUACAACUUCUUGCUAGUUGAAUUUUUUUGGAGGAAAGCAACCACAUAGUACAUAUUUUCUCUGAAAGUUCUAGUCCAAAUGUAUCUUCUCUUUGCUCCGCUCUAAGGGAUAGAACAUGUGCGUCUCAAAUUUCCUUGCUUUUACUAAUUUACAAAUCUUGAGCCACGCAAAAAGGAAAAGAAACAACUACCGAGGGCGGGAGUUCCAUUGCUUCAGUAAUUUUGAGCCGACUGGACUGAUGACGAUUGGAGGGUACUGGUUUAAGAACAACAAGGACCAGAUAAAAAGAUUGAAUCUUCAUGACAUACGCAAUAACAAUAAUGGCGACGAAGAUCUGGUCGAUAGCUUGGUAUCUAGGCAAUGCAAAACGUUGUAGUUCGUUCGAUUCCUUAGUAUGCUACACUCAUCUUCCCGCGGAGAGAGAAUCAAAGCAAUCUCAUAAAAAGACGUCAGCGAUGCAACACAAAUGAGAAGUUGGAUGUCAACACUAAUGAAGGAGGGCAAGCAGAUGAUUCCUUCUUUUUCUUUGUUUUCCUCUACCAUCUCAAAACUCACAAUACAUUGGGCAAAAGAGGGGGAUGAAUGCAAGCCUGCCAUUAUACAUUGAUGAGGACUAACUCUCCCAAUCAACAGGCGAGUUUCUCAAAGCAUACAUAUAUAUAGAGAAGAUGGGGGUGUCAUCCUAGAAGUGUGAGUUUAACAUUCAGAUAGUAUGUUCUUUGGGUUGUUACUAAAGAACCACAAAUAUAAACUACAGCCGAAAGCUAAGAAAUGUUAUAUGUGAUUGAUGUUAGUUGUGAUGUAGCAAGAAAAGCAUGUGAAAAUGUGUAAUGAAACGCAUGUAGUCACUGAACUCGAAUCACACUUCAAUUUCCACCCAUCAAACCUUUGCUAAGUCUAUUGGUACAUACGGGUGGAAUGCCAAUUAUUCUAUUUGAAAUUUGAGAAAAAAAGAUUGGCAACUUUCUUAACAACUCUCUUAACAAACAUGGAGGGAUGUUGACAAAUUCACUGUGUGUGUGUGUGUGAGAGAGAGAGAGAGAGAGAGAGAGAGAGAGAGAGAGAGAGAUGAUAGAUAUUUAGGUUGGUCCCACAUAGAUAUAACUCUCGCCAAAAUUGUAUAGGCUAUGCCAACUUAUGCCAUGUUCGUCUUUAAAAUUCAUUUUUCUUUUGCAAAGGAAUCAUUGACGUGAUGCCGCAAUUUUGGUGGGUGACGAGGACAAUCAGAAGAGAAUGCAUUGGAUGGUGUGGUGGAAGAUGUGUGUCCCAAAAGACUAAGGAGGUAUGGGCUUCCAAGAUGUACGUUGUUUCAAUAUGGCUUUAUUACCCAAACAAGCGUGGUGUCUGCAUGAUAAUCCCGAUUCUUUAUGCGCUCCUAUUUUGAGAACUAAUAUUUUUCAGCUGGCAAUUCAAUGAAUGCAAGUCUGAAAAAGGGUUUCUCUUUUACCUGGCAAAGCAUUAUGGCGGGAGUUAACUCUCUAAAAAAUGGUAAUAUAUGGAAAGUUGGAAAUGGAAAGAUAUUGAUAUCUGGAGAGAUGCAUGGAUCCCAAGCUAUGCGAAUAAGAAAAUUAUUACUCCUAGAAGAGGACAACUUCUAUCAAAGGUUUCUGAUUUUAUUGUUAUAGUCAUGAACUUUUGGGAUGAAGACUUGGUGAGACAAAUGUUGUGGCCAAUUAAUGCUCAACGCGUACUCGCGAUUACCCUCCCGAUGUAUAAUAUGUUGGAUUUCAUUGUUUGGAGUUAUACAAAAAAUGGUUUGUUCACUGUUCGAUUGGCUUAUUUGGAAGAAUGGAAUCAACAUGGGAGGAAAUUGCAACAUAGAAAUGGUGUAUGGGUAGAACUAAUGUCAAUCCUAUCUAUGAUAAGAUUUGGAAAUUAUCUUGUCCGACAAAGGUUAAAAAAAUGAUUUGGCGUACGCUGCAUGGAACCCUCCCGAGUUGUGUUACGCUUGCUAAUAAACACAUGAAAGUUAUGCCCAUCUGCUUAUCAUGCUCGAAUGGGCCAGAAGAUACAAAACACAUGUUGUUUCUUUAUCAGAAGGCGAAAGAGUUUGAGAUAAGUUGGGAUUGUAUGAGGUGAUUAAUAAAGAUUGUGUUGUGGAUCGUGCGGUAGAGGUAGUACUUUAAUUCUUACUCUUAUGCCAUAUCAAGAAUCGUCUAUAUUGGGCCUUCAGAAUGCAAGUGAAUUGAUUGCUAUAACAGCUUAGUAUUUAUGGUUGGAUAGACGUAAGCUAGUUCAUGAAGGAAAUUUUUUAAGAUGCAUACCAAACUUUAAUGGCGGUUCGUGCUAUAAUGGCAAACUAUGGGAAUGCCUACUCCCCUAAGGAAACUAUGUGAAUGCCGAGGUUUACGCUGCCGCGGGUGUGCAAGAACAGAGACGCUGCCUCUCUGUAUUAAUAGUGCGUGCUCUGAACCUGGACGAGUAUCUGGCAAUAGUGACCCCUUGCGUUGGAUUGGGAUCAGGAUUCCCAUUAACUAGGAGAGCUAUGAGAGCAACCGCACCAUGACUCUAGGCCCAUACAUUUUCUGAUGAAGAACAUACACUACUUGGUAGAAUUGUAUUUGGAGGAAAGCAACCACACACAUUUUUUCCCUAAAAGUUUUGGUCUAGAUGUAUCUUCUCUUUGCUCCGCUCCAAUGGAUAGAACAUGAGCAUCUCAAAUUUCCUUGCUUUCACUAAUUUACAAAUCUUGAGCCACGCAAAAAAGAAACAAAAAAACUAUCGAGGGCAGGAAUUCAAUUGCUUCAUUAAUUUUGAGGAGUGCGAAACCACGCCGAUUGGAGGGUGCUGGGUUAAGAACAACAAAACCAGAGAAAACGGGUGAAUCUUCACGAGAUACGCAAUAACACUAGCUGCACUGAAGAAGUGCCCAAUACCUUGGUAUCUAGGCAAUGCAAAACGAUGUACUUUGUGGGGUUGUUUAGUAUGCUAUACUCGCCUCCCCGCGGAGAGACAAUCGUUGCAAUCUCAUGGAAAGAGGUGAGCGAUGCAUCACAAGUAGCAAGUUGGAUGGCACCACUAACGCAGCAAGGGAAGAAGGCAAUUCCUUCUUUUUCUUUGUUUGCCUCCAGUAUCUCAAAGCUCACAAGUACGUUGAACAGAAGAGGGAAAUAGAUGUAAGCCCGACAUUACACAAUUGAAAGGACUAUCUCUCUCGACUGAGAGGCAAGUUCUCAAAAUGUACAUAUAUAUAGGAUGGGGGUGUCAUUCUAAGAGUUUAGCAUUCAUUCAUGUAGUAUGUUUUUGGGUGGUCAUUGAUAGACUGUGAAUAUAAACUACAGUCUACAGCCUAAAGCUAACAAAUUUUAUAUGUGUUUGGUGUUGGUUGUGACGUAGCGAGAAAUGCAUGUGAAAAAUGUGAUGAAACACAUGUAGUCAUAGAACUCGAAUCACAUUUGAGUUUCCAACCAUCAAACACUUGCUAAGUCUAUUGGAAUGUGAUACGCCUCCUGCGUAUCUAUUUUUUCUUACGCUUUUCCUCUUGUUUUGGACUAUAAUUUGCAUGAUUUGAAUGAAACUAACCCCAGACUGACGUUGUUUUCAGCAGAACUACCAUGGCGUUCUUUUUGUGCAGAAAUAAAAGUUCUCGGAAUGGAACAAAACUUUGCGAGGAUUUUUUAUAUCAAUAAUAAGAAUUUCUGGAGCCAAGACCUGCAGGAGAGGGGCACCUAGGUAGGCACAACCCACCAGGGCGCACCCGCCUCUCCUGGCGCGCCCAGGUGGGUUGUACCCACCUGGUGGCCCCGCAGACGACCCCCCUGAUACUAUAAAAUCACAUAUUUCCAGAAAAAAAAUCAGAGAAAGAAUUAUCACAAUCCCCGAGACGGAGCCGCCGCCAAGCCCUGUUCUUCCUCGGGAGGGCAGAUCUGGAGUCCGUUUGGGGCUCCGGAGAGGGGGAUCUUCGUUCUUCGUCAUCACCAACCCAUCUCCAUCGCCAAUUCCAUGACGCUCCCCACCGGGAGUGAGUAAUUCCUUCGUAGGCUCACUGGUCUAUGAGGAGUUGGAUGGGAUUCAUCAUGUAAUCGAGUUAGUUUUGUUAGGGCCUGAUCCCUAGUGUCCACUAUGUUCUUAGAUUGAUGUUGCUAUGACUUUGCUAUGCUUAAUGCUUGUCACUUCGGGCCCGGGUGCCAUGAACUCAGAUCUUAACCGUUUAGGAAUUCAUCAUUAUAUCCAUGUUUUAGAUCCGAUUUUGCAAGUUAUAGUCACCUACCACGGUUAUACGACAACCCCGGAAUGACAACAACCGGGCCCACUCUCGGUGAUGACCGUAGUUUGAGGAGUUCAUGUAUUCACUAUGUGUUAAUGCUUUGUUCUGGUUNNNNNNNNNNNNNNNNNNNNNNNNNNNNNNNNNNNNNNNNNNNNNNNNNNNNNNNNNNNNNNNNNNNNNNNNNNNNNNNNNNNNNNNNNNNNNNNNNNNNNNNNNNNNNNNNNNNNNNNNNNNNNNNNNNNNNNNNNNNNNNNNNNNNNNNNNNNNNNNNNNNNNNNNNNNNNNNNNNNNNNNNNNNNNNNNNNNNNNNNNNNNNNNNNNNNNNNNNNNNNNNNNNNNNNNNNNNNNNNNNNNNNNNNNNNNNNNNNNGAGGGGGGUAGGACAAAAUAUGUCAUGCAAGUUCUUUUAAUAAAGCACAUAUGACUAUUUACGGAAUACAUGCCUACAUUAUAUCAACGAACUGGAGCUAGUGCGUAUUGCCCUAGGUUAUAACUGUCACAAUAUGAAUAUCAUCCAACAAGUCACCGAUCCAAUGCCUACGAAUUUAUCUUAUAUUGUUUCUGCCGAGUUACUACUGCUAUCAUCACUGUUACACUUGCUACAAAUUACUAUUAUCACUAUUACCGUUACCGUUGAUGCUGUCACUAUAUCAAAACUAUCAAACUAGUUUGCUACUGAUCACUUUGCUGCAAAUAAUUAAUCUCCAGGUGUGGUUGAAUUGACAACUCAGAUGCUAAUACCUUCAAAUAUUCUUUGGCUCCCCUUGUGUCGAAUCUAUAAUUUGGGUUAAAUACUUAGCCUCAAAAACUGUUGCGACCCCCUAUACUUGUGGGUUAUCAAGACCUUUUUCUGGCGCCGUUGCCGGGGAGCAUAGCUAUAUUUGUUGAGUCACUUGGGGAUUAUUAUCAAUUUAUCACCAUGAAGAAUCUGAAGGAUCCAAAGACUAAGAUAUUUCCCUCAAAGACGAGGGGAGGUAAGGAACUACCAUCCAGUUCUGCUUUAGAUUCACCUUCUGUUAUGAGUAAACUUGCAACACCACCAUAUGCUAUUAAUUCUGAUAUGUCGCAAGUUAUUGAUGAUGCUACUUCUACAAUGAAUGAUGCUUAUGAUGAUGCUAGUACCAUGUUCGAUAAUGAUGAUGUGCCACUUGGUGAAUUUCUUGGUGAACAAAUUGCUAGAGUAAUACAACUUGAUGCUGUUGAAUUUGAUGAUGAGCUUGAAACUGAAACUCCUGAAACACUUGCUAGAGCUAGCCCCCUAGAUAUGAAUUGCCUAAGGUACCGGAAGGCUAUGUUAUGAGUGAAGAGGCAACUAGAGAUAUUUUUGCUUGUAAGGAUAGAGAUGAUCUAGAGAAAUUAUUACACAAGUAUAAAGAAAAAUCUCUGAAUGCUAGAAUGAAAUGUGAUCCUAAGUUUUCUACUUCGCCUAUCUUUAUUGAUGAUAAGGAUUAUGAAUUCUCUGUCGACCCAGAGUUAAUUACUUUGGUUGAAUUUGAUCCUUUCCAUGGUUAUGAAACUGAAACUGUUGUGGCACAUCUUACUAAGUUGAAUGAUAUAGCCACCCUUUUUAAUCAUGAUGAGAAAACUCGAUACUACUUUAUUCUCAAAUUAUUUAUUUUCUCAUUAAAGGGUGAUGCUAAAGCUUGGCACAAUACUCUUGCUCCUAGUUGUGUGCGUAGUCCCCAGGAUAUGAUUUACUACUUCUCUGGAAAAUAUUUUCCUGCUCAUAAGAAACAAGCUACCUUACAGGAAAUAUUUAACUUUGUUCAAACUAAAGAAGAGAGUCUCCCACAAGCUUGGGGGAGGCUUCUCCAAUUGCUUAAUGCUUUGCCUGAUCAUCCUCUUAAGAAAAAUGAAAUACUUGAUAUCUUCUAUAAUGGACUAACCGAUGCUUCUAGGGACCUCCUAUAUAGUUGUGCUGGUUGUGUUUUCUGGGAACAAAUUAUUGCUCAAGCUGAAGAAUUAUUGAAUAACAUAUUGAAAAAUUAUGAUGAUUGGACUAUUCCUGAACCACCGCCUAAACCCACUCCGAAGAAGAGGGGAAUAUUAUAUCUCAGUCCUGAAGAUAUGCAAGAGGGAAAGAAAUCUAUGAAGGAAAAAGGUAUUAAAGUUGAGGAUGUUAAAAAUUUACCUCGUAUUGAAGAAAUACAUGGGCUUGAUACACCACCACUGCCUAAGGUGGUAGAGGUAAAUUCUCUUAUGAAGUUCAAUGAAAAUGAUAAUCCUCACAAUAUGCAUCCUAGCCAAUGCCUUUAUUAGUUUGAAAACUACACUUGAAAACAAGACCACUUCAAUGCAAAUGUUAUGAAACAAUUGAAAUAUAAUUCUGAUAUGAUUGCUCGCUUGAGUGACUUGUUAUUUAGAAUCUCAAAUGAUGUUAGAGGUGUUGGAAAACAUGCUUCUAUGGUUCAAACCCAGUUAGAACAAGUUGCUAAAUCACAAAGAGAAUUACUUGAUGAAAUGAAUCAUAAUAUACAUGACUUUGCUGUUUGAGUUGCAACUAGAGGAGGUAAAAUGACUCAGGAACCACUUUAUCCUAAGGGACACCCAAAAAGAAUUGAACAAGAUUCGCAAAGAAAUAACACUAGUGCACCUGGUCCUUCUAAAAAGAAAAACAAAAAUGAUAGGACUUUGCAUGCUUCUAGUGAACUUGAAAUAGACAAACCUCCUGAUAAUGAAAAGGAAAUCUCUGAUGCUGAAACUCAAUCUGGUAAUGAACAUCCACCUAGUGAUAAUGAAAAAGAUAAUGAUGAGGUUCAUGAAUACACUUAAACAAAUAAUGAUAAGGAACCAGAUAAUGAUGUUGAGAUAGAACCACCUGUUUAUCUUGAUAAUCCACAACCUAAGAAUAAAAGAUAUGAUAAAAGAGACUUUGUUGCUAGAAAACACGGUAAAUAAAGAGAACCAUGGGUUCAAAAACCUAUUCCUUUUCCACCCAAGUCAACUAAAAGGAAAGAUGAUGAAUAAUUUGAAUGAUUUGCUGAAAUGCUGAGGCUAGUCUUUUUGCAUACUCGCUUGUCUGACAUCUUAAAAAUGCCUUCUUAUGCAAAGUAUAUGAAAGAUAUCAUCACAAAUAAGAGGAAAAUACCGGUAACUGAAAUCUCCACUAUGCUUGGUAACUAUACUUUUAAAGAUGGAGUACCUAAAAAACUUGGAGAUCCGGGUAUACCAACUAUACCUUGCUCCAUCAAAAGGAAUUAUGUGAAAAUUGCUUUGUGUGAUCUGGGAGCUGGUGUUAGUGUUAUGUCUUUCUCUUUAUAUAAAAGACUUGAUUUCAAUAAACUCACACCUACUGAAAUAUCAUUGCAAAUGGCUGAUAAAUCAACUGACAUACCUAUCGAUAUCUGUGAGGAUGUGCAUGUUGUUGUUGCUAAUGUUACUAUUUUGACCGACUUUGUUAUACUUGAGAUGCCCGAGGACGACAACAUGUCGAUUAUCCUUAGUAGACCCUUCUUGAAUACUGCAACAGCUGUUAUUGAUUGCAACAAAAGCAAGGUCACUUUUCAUAUUAAUGGUAAUGAGCAUACGGUGCAUUUUCCGAAGAAACAAUUCCAAGUGAAUGGUAUUAAUGUUAUUGAAAAAUCUCCGAUAAUCACUAUUGGAAGUUUUCAAAUACCUCUACCUACUGUCAAAAAGAAAUAUGAAAUGCUAUUGUAGGGGAAAUGAAUAUCCCCAUUGAGGUAACUUAAUGAUUUACGAAAGUUCUUCAGUUUCAUGCUAACCGAAAGUGGUUGAAAAUAAGACCUGAUCAACCUUAUUAAUGAAUCAUUUUUGAAUGGUAUGAAGUUGAUGAAUUUAGUAAGCACUACCUUCUGUCCCUACCUUUUGUUUCCUGUUUUUAUUAGUUAAAUAAAAUAAAAUGCCAUGUUUUGUCUGUUUUCUGAAUUUCCCGUGCAAUAAAAAAUGACCCAAAAAUAAAAGUUCUCAGAAUGCCCUGAAAAUUGAACAUGAAUUUUUUCUGAAUAUUUCUGAAUUUCUAGUGCAAAUAAUACCAGAGGGAGGUGCACCAGGUGGGCACAACCCCCCUGGGCGCGCCAGGACCCCCAGGCGUGCCUUGGUGGGUUGUGGUCCCCACGUCGACCCCUCACUUAUCUCUUUAGCCCACAUCAUCACUUACCUCCAGAAAAAAUUCUCCAUUGCUCUCUCUCUCGUGUUCUUGAGCUCAAACCCGUGGAUUUCAAUCUCUUUGCUUGAAGCUCCGUUUCCAAAACUGUUUCAGGGGAUUGUUGCUUGGUAUGUGACUCCACCAUUUGUUCAAUUAGUUUUUGUUCUAGUGGUUUAUACUUUGAAUAAUUAGCUACUCUUGGUGCUACUGUAGAUGAGCUUGCAUGUUGAAUUCUUAGUGUUCUAAGCAGGUUGAAUGCUUGCUAUGGCCUCUUUGUAUCCCUAUGAGUAGUUGCUAUCAAUUUUGUGAAGUUUUGUUGGGAAAAUUUUGUGAACUAAAAAUUCAGAAUUUUGUUCAUAGGAAAAAUUGUACGCGGACAUGAAUAUCUUCAGGAAGUUUGGCUCUAACAAGAACUCCAAGGGUGUUAUUGGGGAGUCUUAUAACAGUGAUCUCCACCCUCGGAGGUUGGCGGAAGUACGGCCGUGCGAAUGGCCACACACCCCGUUCCUACAAGAGGCUGUAUUUCUUGAGGAGUUCAUGCAAUAUCACUACAAAAAAAGACACAUCCGUGACAUUUUGGGCCGAACGAAAUUUUUUUUGUCAUACAUAUGACACUUCUAUGACGAUAAUUGUGACAAAACCCGGUAUCAUCAUAGAUGUGGUGGGCUCCUACUUCUAUGACAAAAAAUCAUGACAGAAAAUGGGCCUUUUGUCCUAGGCGGGCCGGAGACGCAGCUGCAUGACAUUCUUUGGGCCAUCCAUGACGGAAAAAACCAUGGUAGAAGCGAGGGGGAGGAAAAUUUCGGGGAGUUCCCAGUUACGGUAGGAGGUCAGGGGUCGAGCGAUGCGCGUUUCUCUCAUACACGUACGCGCGUGUGUGCGAGGCGUUGGCUCUAACUGAACCCGAGCGAGGCGUUGGGCUCUAACUAAACCCGAGCGAUUGCACUGUAGGCUACGCAUUACUGAACCCGAGCGAUCGAUCGAUGGAUGUUAACUAAACCUGAUCGAGUGAUUCCUUCGCUACUGCUGCUAACUGAAGCCGAUNNNNNNNNNNNNNNNNNNNNNNNNNNNNNNNNNNNNNNNNNNNNNNNNNNNNNNNNNNNNNNNNNNNNNNNNNNNNNNNNNNNNNNNNNNNNNNNNNNNNNNNNNNNNNNNNNNNNNNNNNNNNNNNNNNNNNNNNNNNNNNNNNNNNNNNNNNNNNNNNNNNNNNNNNNNNNNNNNNNNNNNNNNNNNNNNNNNNNNNNNNNNNNNNNNNNNNNNNNNNNNNNNNNNNNNNNNNNNNNNNNNNNNNNNNNNNNNNNNNNNNNNNNNNNNNNNNNNNNNNNNNNNNNNNNNNNNNNNNNNNNNNNNNNNNNNNNNNNNNNNNNNNNNNNNNNNNNNNNNNNNNNNNNNNNNNNNNNNNNNUCCAACACAAGUCCGUUUCGUCCGUUUUGCGGUACGCCACACCCCUCCCGAUCAACAUGACCCCCGUUUCGACCGUAGGAGGUCCGUUUCAUCCGUUUUGUGGUACGCCACACCCCUCCUGAUCAACAGGACCCCCGUUUCGACCGUAGGAGGUCCGUUUCCUCCGUUUUGCGGUACGCCACACCCCUCCCGAUCAACAGGACCCCGUUCCGAACGUAGGAGGUCCGUUUCCUCCGUUGUGCGGUACGCCAGGCCUCGUUUCCAUCGCAUGUUCCAUCCAAGCCCUCCCGAUGAACACGACCACGCAUUCCGUUCCGACCCAGCCGGUUGGCUCCCACGCGUUCCGUCGCCUCCCGAUGAACACGACGCAUUCCGUUGCGUCCCCAUGAACAUGACGCAUUCCGUUGCCUCCCCAUGAACACGACGACGAUUCUGUUUCUCUGUUCCGACCCAGCCAUGUAUGCGCGAGUAGGCGUUAGAGACCUUGCCCGUAUGUACGUACAUGGCCGUAUUUUCUUUCUUGCACCCUGGCCGCUGUACGUACGUGUACAUGCUACGUGCGCGCCUCUACUAGACACGUGUGCGCCUCUACAUCCACCAGUAUAUAUAUACGCACACGUUCGCCAUCAGAAUGACAACGCUACGUACGUGUAAGUGCAUCUAGUUCCCCUUAGUGAUUUUGGUGUAUUUAAGACUUAUAGGUUAAGGGACUAAUGUGUUUAUGAGUAUACACAGGUCUAUAAGUCUAUGAGGAGUUUGAUAUUUACAGAGAAAGUCGACCCCUAAAAAUGAAUAUCUUCGACUGAAGAUUUUGGUAUUCCUGAAGACUUUCAUGAAGACUUUGAAAGUGAAGAAAUUGGUGUGUCCGUGAAGACUUGAUAAUCAUGCAAGGAAUAUGAAGCUUGAAGACUUUCGUUUUCAUAGUUUUGUUUUUCUCUUUCUUGAGUCAUAGGAAACACCGUACUGUUAAAGGGGGUCGAGGAAAUACUAAGGAAAAAUUUCCAUGUGAUGCUCAACUCAAAAUCCUACACCUACCAAUCCCUUCGAGUGAAGCCAUUGGAAAUCUUAUACAGUUCAGUCAAAUUUCUUCAGUGACAGAGACGAAGUUCUUCUGGUCGCUGAGGAAUUUGUUCUAACUGAGGAGUUAGGAAAUCGCCAGUGCGGAUUACCUACACAGUGAGGAACAUGAUAGCCUUGAGGAAUUUGAGAGUCAAAUUUCCGACCGUUGCUGUGCUGCGCGCCAGCUGUCCCAAAAUAUCUUAUCCACCUAACGGUCAUAUCAUUGAAGGGCAUUUAUGUCUUAUCAUGUCAGGCUGCUACCUAGGCUAUAAAUAGCCGCCCCCCUACAACCACUAGCGGGUUGGCUGCUCCGAGAGAAACUGACACUUGUCAUUUAAGAGCAACCCAUCCUCCGAGGACUUUGGCGAAAAUCAUCGAGUGAGGAAAAUCCCAAACCCCAAACACCUACAAACCCGAAGUGAUUGAGCAUCACUGAAGAGAUUGAUCCUAUGUGGAUCCGAUGCUUGUUACCUUUGAAGACUGUGCUUCUUCCAGACGGUUAGGCGUCAUGGUCUAGAGCAUCCAAGAGGAAUUUUGGAUCGCCGAGUGACCGAAGUCUAUGAAGGUUUGGAAGUCGCCUGAAUACUUACCACGAGUGAUUGGACGAGGUCUGUGUGACCUUAGUUCAAGGAGAAUACGGUGAGGACUUGGUGUCCUGAGCUGCGUGCUCAGCGACUGGGUCUCCGGGACUGUGUGUCCUCAAGUUUAAAUACCCAGCCGCUCCAACCAGACGUACAACUGAGACAACAGUUCGAACUGGUCUACCAAAUCAUUGUCUUCACCAACCUUACUGGUUCUAUUUCCUCAACUCUUUCAUUUCCUCAUUACUGUGUUGAGUGAUUGUUCAUAUCUGUGUUUGAAGACUUUGACUGAAGACUUUCUCAAUUUCCUCAGUUCAAUUUCUUCAGUCUGUUUGUCUUCAUGUUGUGUUAUCCUGUGUCUACGCUUUCUGUACUCUGUGUUUGUCUUCAUUUCAUCAUGAUGACUAUGUGUGUAUUCUGUCAUGCUUACUUCUAAGUACUUAUUCCACUGCAAGUAGUUCUUUUCUAAGGAAUUUCCUCACCGGCAAAUUCCUCAGUGAAGAAUUCAUAAAAAUCGCCUAUUCACCCCCCCUCUAGUCGAUAUAACGCACUUUCAAUUGGUAUCAGAGCAAGGUACUCCCUUGUUCUGUGUGAUUUUGGUUUAACCACCUGGAGUUCUAGUUAUGUCGACUGUAGGAUCGAGGAACGUUUCCUGUCCCAUCUUUGACGGUCAUGAGUAUCCUCGGUGGAAGGCCAUGAUGAAAAAGCGACUCAUGGUUAUGGACAGCAAACUGUGGACCGUCACCGAGAUCGGUCUUACUGAUCUAUGCAAGAGGGCUGAGGCUGAUGACAUUCGCAAGUACACACUGCUUAACCUCACAGCGAAGGAUGUCAUCUGCUCUAGUCUGUCCCGAAAUCAGUUCAGGAACAUCAUGCAUCUCAAUCACGCGAAGCUAAUCUGGGACCGUCUCUCUAAGGUCUGUGAAGGUCGUCGGACUCAUCAUGAUCCGUGGUUUGAGGAUUACAAGGAAUCCCUCAACACGAUGACUUUCGAACCAGAAUCAUCCUCUUCUGCAUCAUGUCUCAUGGCAAAGGGUGACAAGGUAAUCGAAUGUUCCUCAUCCGAGUCUAGUGACGAUGAAUCUGAUGAUGAUGGAUCUGAUGAUGAUAUGAACUUAGUUAUACCAAACUUGUUUGCAUUGCCACUAAACAACAAACGGCCUUGGAAAAGGUUCAAAACAUGCUAGACAAAAGUAAUGAUAUGUUGGGUGAAGAAAUGGAUCUCACUAAAGCCCUGACUGAAAAUCUUCAGAGACUUCAGUCUAAGUUUGACAACCUUCAAAGUCAUCAUAAAACUCUCUUAACUGAUCACGAGAAGCUUUCUUAUGAAUUUCUUCAAAGAAAGCAAGAUCUUGAGAAGCUAAGAGUGAGUUAUGAAGAUCUUCAGAAGGAGCGCGAUUCACUACUUGCUCAACAAAUCAACGCUUCUCAGGAAGAAUUUGUUCCUCCAUGCUUAAAGUGCAUUGAACGUGAAUCUGCUAAUUCUUCACCUGAAUGUUCAAAUGCUUCAAAUGUUACAAAUUCUUCACCUGCCUCUGCUAUCACUAAUUCCUCAUCUGAGGACAUUGCUAGUAUCACUGACGAUGCAGGGCUGAAGGAAUUGUAUAUGACAGGCAUGUACAAAAGCCUCAAAGGGCAUCAGACUCUUUGUGAUGUGCUUAAAAAGCAGAUCCUCAACAGAAACCCUAGGAAAGAGGGUAUUGCCUUUGAGAGGAAACUCAAUGCUGAUGGAACAUAUUGGAAGCCUGAGCAGUACCCUAAUACCUCAUGGGUUGCUGCAAAGGGACCUCCAGUUGAUCCAUCUAACGUGUCUGGCUUUACAUGUGAAUCUCCUCAUUCUUCUGAUGAGUCAUUUGACUCUAACUAUAAACUGUUCAAAAAUCAGAAUGGUGAAGUAUUUGCUAGAUAUGUUGGCACUAACUGCAGGAACGGUUCCCCUAUGAAGAAAAUCUGGGUUCCCAAAAGUUGCCUUGAAAGUCUUCAGGUGGAUGUCCUCAUGACACCACCUGUGAAGAAAAGGAACCCCAGAUCAAACUCUUCAUAUGGACCAAAUUCUUCAUAUGGAUCCAAGUCGUCAUACGGACCAAAUUCCUCACGUGGAUCAAAUUCCUCAAAAGGAUCAAAGUCCUCAUAUGACCAUCAUCGUGCUAAUCCUUCUGUUCCGCAGGGUAGAGCUAAGGGCUAUGAAUAUGUGCAUUAUUCUUCAAAUCAUUGUGUUCAUAAGUCCUCGAAGAAUUUCUCUGCUUAUUCAUAUGCUUACCCUAACCCCUCUUAUGUGAAACAAAGUGGACCGGCGUCCAUGCCACCUUUCUCAUAUGGUGCUCGCAGAGUGAUGAAUUCUUUGCCACCCCUUCAGAUGUGGGUGGUGAAGAAAAGGAACUAAUCUCCUAUGCAGGGUUAGGUCUCCAGUCGUGCUUAAAAUGACUGAAGAAUCUUCUGGAGACCUGAACAGUGCCUGAAAGGACGCAGGCAAAUCAUGAUGAAAUGAACUUUCAUUUCACACGUCCUCACACUGCUUAUCUGUGCUAUUGCUUGAUGAAAUUGAACUGAUGAAAUUGACGUCAUAUUCUUCACUGAUGAAGUAUAUGAGUUUGUAAGAUGCACUAAUUCAUCUUCAGGAUGAUCAACCCAAAGCAAACGAAUGGGUCCUUGAUAGUGGAUGUACAAAUCACAUGACUGGUGACAAGAAUCUCUUGAUGGAUGCUCCCUUAACACCGUCACAUCUGAAGCAUAUCAUCUUCGCUGACAAAGGCAAAAGUCAGGUAUUGGGUCUAGGUAAGGUUGCGAUCUCUAAGGACAUACACAUGGACAAAGUCAUGCUUGUCGAGUCCUUAGGAUACAACCUCAUGUCUGUCUCAAUGCUUUGUGAUCUUGAUAUGGUUGUUGUCUUUGGCAAGUAUCAUUGUGUUGUGAUCAUGGAAGCUGACAAUUCCAAAGUCUUCGAAGGCUUUAGGAGAGGAGACUUGUACAUUGUUGAUUUCUCUACAGGACCACAACCUGCCGUGUGCUUACUUGCAAAAGCUUCAGAAGGCUGGCUAUGGCAUCGACGACUUGGUCACGCAGGCAUGAGGAAUUUGCACACACUUGCGAAGAAGAAGCAUGUCAUUGGCAUUGAUAAUGUCAAAUUCCUCAAGUAUCACUUGUGUGGAGCCUGUGAAGCUUGAAAAAUGACCAAGGCCAAGCAUCCAGCGAAGACUAUCAUGACCACUACUCGUCCAUUCGAAUUGCUUCACAUGGAUCUCUUCAGUCCUAAUCAUUAUUCUGAUGUGACAAAUGAUGCAUCUCUAUAUGGCUUUGUUAUUGUUGAUGAUUAUUCUCGUUACACAUGGGUACACAUUGUUACUUACAAACAUGAAGUGCAGGAAGUCUUCAAACGAUUUUCCUCGAGGGCUUCAACCAACUUUGGUGUGAAGAUCAAGCACAUCAGGAGUGACAAUGGAACUGAGUUCAAGAAUUCCGGUCUUAAUGACUAUCUUGAUGAACUUGGUAUUACUCAUGAGUUAUAUGCUCCUUAUACUCCUCAGCAAAAUGGCGUCGUGGAGCGCAAGAACAGAAAUCUUGUUGAGAUGGCUCGCACUAUGGUUGAUGAAUACAAAAUGCCUCAUCGUUUUUGGAUUGAUGCAAUUGAUACCGUGUGCCACAUCAUCAACAGAGUAUAUCUUCACUAAUUCUUCAAGAAGACUGCCUAUGAACUCCUCAUUGACAAGAAACCCAAUGUGAGUUAUUUCAAAGUCUUCGGUGCUAAAUGUUGGAUUAGAGAUCCUCAUCAUAAUGCUAAAUUCGCACCGAAAGCACAUGAAAGUUUUAUGCUUGGUUACAGAAAGGACUCGCACACCUACAGAGUCUUCAACAACGCUCUUCACAAGGUUCUUGAAACUGUAGAUGUGCGGUUCGAUGAAACUAAUGGCUCGCAAAGAGAGCACCUACCCUCUGUGAUAGAUGAACCAGCACCUGAGGAUUCUAUCAAGUUCAAGGCUACUGAGGAUGUCAUUCCUACCGAAGUAUCUACUGAAGAAUUCAUUCCAGAACGCGAAGAUCGUCGAGUUAAUGCACCUGAGGAAAAUGCUGAAGAAAAUGGUGCUGAAGAAAAUGCUGAUCAAAUUCCUCGACGACAACCAGCUCAUCCUCGCGUUGCAAAAGAAGUGCAAGUUGAAAAGAUCAUCAAUGACAUUGAAGCACCAGGUCCUCUCACCCACUCAAAAGCUUCACAUUGAUCUAACUUUUGUGGGCACUAUGCUUUUGCUCUAUCACAGAGCCCACUAAAGUAGAUGAAGCAUUUCUGGAGCCUGAGUGGAUUCGGGCCAUGCAAGAAGAAUUACAUCAGUUCGAGCUCAACAAUGUCUGGGAACUGGUCAAACGUCCAAAUCCUCGCAAGCAAAAUAUCAUUGGCACAAAGUGGAUCUACCGCAACAAGCAAGAUGAAAAUGGCCUUGUGGUGAGGAAUAAGGCACGACUUGUAGCUCAAGGCUACACAGUGGUUGAAUGAAUUGAUUUCGAUGAAACUUUUGCACCUGUUGCUAGACUUGAGGCUAUUCGCAUAUUACUUGCUUAUGCUAACUGAGGGAGUUCCGGACUAGGGGGUGUCUGGAUAGCCGAACUAUCAUGAUCGGCCGAACUCCAAGACUAUGAAGAUACAAGAUUGAAGACUUCGUCCCGUGUCCGGAUGGGACUUUCCUUGGCGUGGAAGGCAAGCUUGGCGAUACGGAUAUGUAGAUCUGCUACCAUUGUAACUGACUUUGUGUAACCCUAGCCCUCUCCGGUGUCUAUAUAAACCGGAUGGCUUUAGUCCAUAGGACGAACAACAAUCAUACCAUAGGCUAGCUUCUAGGGUUUAGCCUCCUUGAUCUCGUGGUAGAUCCAAUAUUGUAACACACAUCAUCAAUAUUAAUCAAGCAGGACGUAGGGUUUUACCUCCAUCAAGAGGGCCCGAACCUGGGUAAAACAUCGUGUCCCUUGUCUCCUGUUACCAUCCGCCUAGACGCACAGUUCGGGACCCCCUACCCGAGAUCCGCCGGUUUUGACACCGACAUUGGUGCUUUCACUGAGAGUUCCUCUGUGCCAUCACCGAUAGGCUCGAUGGCUUCUUCGAUCAUCAUCAACGACGUAGUCCAGGGUGAGACCUUCCUCCCCGGACAAAUCUUCGUAUUCGGCGGCUUCGCACUGUAGGGAAACAUUUAAUUUCAAAAGAAAAUCCUACGCACACGCAAGAUCAUGGUGAUGGCAUAGCAACGAGAGGGGAGAGUGUUUGUCCACGUACCCUCGUAGACCGUAAGCGGAAGCGUUAUGACAACGCGGUUGAUGUGGUCGUACGUCUUCACGAUCCGACCGAUCCAAGUACCGAACGUACGACACCUUUGAGUUAAGCACACGUUCAGCUCGAUGACGAUCCCUGGGCUCCAAUCCAGCAAAGCUUCGGGGAUGAGUUCCGUCAGCACGACGGCAUGGUGACGAUGAUGAUGUUCUACCGGCACAGGGCUUCGCCUAAACUCCGCGACGAUAUGACCGAGGUGGAAUAUGGUGGAGGGGGGCACCGCACACGGCUAAGGAAUGAUCCGUAGAUCAACUUGUGUGUUCUGGGGUGCCCCCUGCCCUCGUAUAUAAAGGAGGGAGGGGGGAGGUGCGGCCGGCCCCCUAGGACUCCCCCCUCUUGCCUUGGUGGAGAAGGAAAGGGGGAAGGGGAACGAGGAAAGGGGGGCGCCGCCCCCCCCUUCCUUGUCCUAUUCGGACUUAGGGGGGGGGGCGCGGCCUGCCCUGGCCGGCCCUCCUCUUCUCCCUUAUGGCCCACUAAGGCCCAUUAUCCCCCGGGAGGGUUCCGGUAACCCCCCGGUGUUCCGGUAAAAUCCCGAUUUCACCCAGAACUAUUCCGAUGUCCAAACAUAGGCUUCCAAUAUAUCAAUCUUUAUGUCUCGACCAUUUCGAGACUCCUCGUCAUGUCCGUGAUCAAAUCCGGGACUCCGAACAAACUUCGGUACAUCAAAACUUAUAAACUCAUAAUAAAACUGUCAUCGUAACGUUAAGCGUGCGUACCUUAUGGGUUCGAGAACUAUGUAGACAUGACCUAGAACUAUUCUCAGUCAAUAACCAAUAGCGGGACCUGGAUGCCCAUAUUGGUUCGUACACAUUCUACGAAGAUCUUUAUCGGUCAAACCGCAUAACAACAUACGUUGUUCCCUUUGUCAUCGGUAUGUUACUUGCCCGAGAUUUGAUCAUCGGUAUCCAAUACCUAGUUCAACCUCGUUACCUGUAAGUCUCUUUACUCGUUACGUAAUGCAUCAUCCCAUAACCAACUCAUUGGUCACAUUGCUUGCAAGGCUUAUAGUGAUGUGCAUUACCGAGAGGGCCCAGAGAUACCUCUCCGACAUUCGGAGUGACAAAACCUAAUCUCGAAAUACGCCAACUCAACAUGUACCUUCAGAGACACCUGUAGUACUCCUUUAUAAUCACCCAGUUAUGUUGUGACGUUUGGUAGUACCCAAAGUGUUCCUCCGGUAAACGGGAGUUGCAUAAUUCUCAUAGUUACAGGAACAUGUAUAAGUCAUGAAGAAAGCAAUAGCAAUAUACUAAACGAUCAAGUGCUAGGCUAAUGGAAUGGGUCAUGUCAAUCACAUCAUUCUCCUAAUGAUGUGAUCCCACUAAUCAAAUGACAACACAUGUCUAUGGUUAGGAAACAUAACCAUCUUUGAUUAAUGAGCUAGUCAAGUAGAGGCAUACUAGUGACUAUAUGUUUGUCUAUGUAUUCACACAUGUAUCAUGUUUCCGGUUAAUACAAUUCUAGCAUGAAUAAUAAACAUUUAUCAUGAUAUGAGGAAAUAAAUAAUAACUAUAUUAUUGCCUCUAGGGCAUAUUUCCUUCAGUCUCCCACUUGCACUAGAGUCAAUAAUCUAGAUUACAUAGUAAUGAUUCUAACACCCAUGGAGUCUUGGUGCUGAUCAUGUUUUGCUCAUGAGAGAGGCUUAGUCAACGGGUCUGCAACAUUCAGAUCUGUAUGUAUCUUGCAAAUCUCUAUGUCUCCCACUUGGACUUGGUCUCGAAUGGAAUUGAAGCGUCUCUUGAUGUGCUUGGUCCUCUUGUGAAAUUUGGAUUCCUGUGCUAAGGCAAUUGCACCAGUAUUGUCACAGAAGAUUUUCAUUGGUCCCGAUGCACUAGGUAUGACACCUAGAUUGGAAAUGAACUCCUUCAUCCAGACUCCUUCAUUUGCUGCUUCAGAAGCAGCUAUGUACUCCGCUUCACAUGUAGAUCCCGCCACGACGCUUUGUUUAGAACUGCACCAACUUACAGCUCCACCGUUUAAUAAAAACACGUAUCCGGUUUGCGAUUUAGAAUCGUCCGGAUCAGUGUCAAAGCUUGCAUCGACGUAACCAUUUACGACUAGCUCUUUGUCACCUCCAUAUACGAGAAACAUAUCCUUAGUCCUUUUCAGGUAUUUCAGGAUGUUCUUGACCGCUGUCCAGUGAUCCACUCCUGGAUUACUUUGGUUCCUUCCUGCCAAGCUUAUUGCUAAGCAUACGUCAGGUCUGGUACACAGCAUUGCAUACAUGAUAGAGCCUAUGGCUGAAGCAUAGGGAACAUCUUUCAUUUUCUCUCUAUCUUCUGCUGUGGUCGGGCAUUGAGUUUGACUCAACUUCACACCUUGUAGCACGGGCAAGAACCCUUUCUUUGCCUGAUCCAUUUUGAACUUUUUCAAAAUUUUGUCAAGGUAUGUGCUUUGUGAAAGUCCUAUUAAGCGUCUUGAUCUAUCUCUAUAGAUCUUGAUGCCCAAUAUGUAAGCAGCUUCACCGAGGUCUUUCAUUGAAAAACUUUUAUUCAAGUAUCCCUUUAUGCUAUCCAGAAAUUCUAUAUCAUUUCCGAUUAAUAAUAUGUCAUCUACAUAUAAUAUCAGAAAUGCUACAGAGCUCCCACUCACUUUCUUGUAAAUACAGGCUUCUCCAAAAGUCUGUAUAAGACCAUAUGCUUUGAUUACACUAUCAAAACGUUUAUUCCAACUCCGAGAUGCUUGCACCAGUCCAUAAAUGGAUCGCUGGAGCUUGCAUACUUUGUUAGCAUCUUUUGGAUCAACAAAACCUUCUGGCUGCAUCAUAUACAACUCUUCUUCCAGAAAUCCAUUCAAGAACGCAGUUUUGACAUCCAUUUGCCAAAUUUCAUAAUCAUGAAAUGCAGCAAUAGCUAACAUGAUUCAGACAGACUUAAGCAUCACUACGGGUGAGAAAGUCUCAUCGUCUUCAACCCCUUGAACUUGCCGAAAACCUUUCACAACAAGUCGAGCUUUAUAGUCAGUUACAUUACCAUCAGCGUCAGUCUUCUUCUUAAAGAUCCAUUUAUUCUCAAUGGCUUGCCGAUCAUCGGGCAAGUCAACCAAAGUCCAUACUUUGUUUUCAUACAUGGAUCCCAUCUCAGAUUUCAUAGACUCCAGCCAUUUUGCGGAAUCUGGGCUCAUCAUCGCUUCCUCAUAGUUCGUAGGUUCAUCAUGGUAAAGUAACAUGACUUCCAGAAUAGGAUUACCGUACCACUCUGGUGCGGAUCUUACUCUAGUAGACCUACGAGGUUCGGUAGAAACUUGAUCUGAAGUUUCAUGAUCAAUAUCAUUAGCUUCCUCACUAAUUGUUGUAGUCGUCACAGGAACUAGUUCUUGUGAUCAACUACUUUCCAAUAAGGGAGUAGAUACAGUUAUCUCAUCAAGUUCUACUUUCCUCCCACUCACUUCUUUCGAGAGAAACUCCUUCUCUAGAAAGGAUCCGAUUUUAGCAAUGAAAAUCUUGCCCUCAGAUCUGUGAUAGAAGGUGUACCCAAUAGUCUCUUUUGGGUAUCCUAUGAAGACACAUUUCUCCGAUUUGGGUUUGAGCUUAUCUGGUUGAAGUUUCUUCACAUAAGCAUCGCAGCCCCAAACUUUAAGAAACGACAACUUUGGUUUCUUGCCAAACCACAGUUCAUAAGGCGUCGUCUUAACGGAUUUUGAUGGUGCCCUAUUUAACGUGAAUGUGGCCGUCUCUAAAGCAUAACCCCAAAACGAUAGCGGUAAAUCAGUAAGAGACAUCAUAGAUCGCACCAUAUCUAGUAAAGUACGAUUACGACGUUCGGACACACCAUUUCGUUGUGGUGUUCCGGGUGGCGUGAGUUGCGAAACUAUUCCGCAUUGUUUCAAGUGUAGGCCAAACUCGUAACUCAAAUAUUCUCCUCCACGAUCAGAUCGUAGAAAUUUUAUUUUCUUGUUAUGAUGAUUUUCCACUUCACUCUAAAAUUCUUUGAACUUUUCAAAUGUUUCAGACUUGUGUUUCAUCAAGUAGAUAUACCCAUAUCUGCUCAAAUCAUCUGUGAAGGUGAGAAAAUAA